RNAcentral lists this long non-coding RNA (52266 nucleotides) under Elaeis guineensis (African oil palm). RNAcentral's name for it is "long non-coding RNA (EGUI_LNC025231)". The record is from RNAcentral. Lineage: Eukaryota; Viridiplantae; Streptophyta; Magnoliopsida; Arecales; Arecaceae.
CAAACCCACAGCUCUUGUGUGUGGCUGCUUUCCUCGCUCUCUCGAGGUCGUUCGAGCUUCGCCUCCUCUUUUUUGAUCCGUUUCUACCACCUUCGAUUCCAAAGAUGGCGAGAGUUCCAGGCUUCCGAUUUGCCACCGAGGUCGCUCCGCCGCAGCUGGUCGCUGUUGUGAAGCCAAGGGCGUCGAAGAUCUUGGACACGAUUCCUGAGGAGGAGAUGGAUUCCAUCGAAGACCAGUCAUGCUCUUCCGAGAGCAUCCCUUUGUGUGACUGGUUGGAGGAAGACCGUGAUUGGUUGGAGGAAGACGGUGGAGAGAGGAGAAUUUUGGCCUGAAAUUUGGAUCUUCUUGUCCAUGUACAGUUCCUGACUCUGUGACGUUAUUAGCUGUGGGAUUUCGAGGGAAGGAGAGCUCUUCUUUCUUUGGGUGUUUGUUAUUGGAAUUUGUUAACCAUCUUUGUAGCACUUGAGCUUUCUUUCACGAGAGAGAGAGAGCAAGGUGUCGAUGGAGAUGUUUAGGAACAUUAGACUAGGAAAAAGUCUGUUCCCCUGAAGGUUUAACUUUCAAUUAAGGCCUAUUGGAUUGUGCCAUUCCAGUGUUUCUUUCUUUCUUUAAGGUGUAUGCGAGCAGAGCUUUAUUGAAUCCUGUGGUGUCACAAUUACCUGCUCUGAAGCUGCUGAUUGUUUCUUUUUCCAACCAUAGCAUCGAUUUGCCCUUCUGUUCCCCCUUGAAAUUAUAUGAUUAUUGGCAUGUCAAACAAUUAAGAGACCAUUGCUUAGACUACCCAAACAUAAGGCCUAUCAGAUACUAUGUGAACUUUUAUCAAAUGUCGAUCUGAUGAUGUUUUGAGAAAACAAGAGAAAAGAAAAGGUGGAGCAUCAAUUUGAAUAUCGUAUAAGAAAAUUUUCCCUUCACCAUUAAUAUUAAAAGGCUGAAGGCAAGUGGGGAGAUACUCCAUCUUCACCAGACCACCCCCUAGACGGGAUCCAAGCAUACUAUGCACGGGCACAGCCAAUCACCACAGACCAAGACAGACUGCACCCGCUAACAAUCCAAAGGUUCCCUUUAGUGCUAAAUAUCUAUAUAACCUCACGGUAUAAAAGCAUCCAAACACUUGACACUGAUAUGAUAAAAAAUCUAAUAGUAUCAACAAAACAAUCAUCUUCCUAAAAUGCAGCUCUCAUUUCAACCAAAAUUUGAACUCUUUUGUUUAAAGAAAAAUCUCUCCUCCAUAUGCUACUUUCUUUAUACCCAAUUCUGGCAUUCUUGUUACUUUUUGUUUUUUGAAACUGUAGCAGUGCAGAAGACGUGACCAGAUUUUCUGUUGAACAAUCUGAAAAAGGACAUGAAACUUAUUUUAAUUCAAGCAAGAAUGUGUGUGUGUGUAUUCCAAAAUAAGAUGCAUCAAGAAACUGUUUCUAAUGACCAUAGGUUACAACUUGCAGCUGUCAACAGAUACACCAUUUGAAUCCUACAAAAGGAUUCUGUACAGUCUCUCCUUUGCCUCAGAUUCCUCCCAAGGUAUCAGGAAAUUUUGGAGUUAGUUUGCAGCAUAAGAACAGUAAUUCAUGAAGCAAACUUGGGUAAACCAUUGAGAUUAGCCCAGAAGGAACAAAGAAUGGGUCAGAUCAAGAGAACGGUCAGUCCACCAAUAAAUACAAUGACUGAGCGAAAGAAAUAACACGCCGUGGUCACGGUUUUUACAUACCGCUAUCCACAGAACCGAAAGGAUUCACGGUUACUUAAGAUUCGCUGAUAGAUCACACACUUCAUCAUCUUGAGAAGCCACACCAACAGCUUCAAAACCAUUAAAUGUUGCAGCUGCUUCAUUUCACCAUAUCAGCAACUUCUUAAACAUUAAAUAACAAAGCUAGUUGAUCAGCAAAGACUAAUUGUAGACCUGACAUCACCAGGAAAACACUACGCCACAAGUUCAAUUCUUUAGUCUUUUUCAGACAGCAGAAAAACAGAACACAUUCUUCAUUUAUUAUCCUGAAUCCAAUCAAAAGAGAGAUUUUUUUGGCGGAUGGAAACAUGUAACCCACUAAUUCUUAACGAGGAAAUCAUACUUGAUUUUGGAUGCUGCCUCGACAGAAUCUCCAUGAACCAUCAUCUUGCCUUUUCAAAAUAUAUUUAACUUUGUAUGUACUGCAAGAAGACAAUCCCAAAUAAAAAAAAAUGAAAACCCAAAUUUUAGACCAAGCAUGACACUGACAAAUAUACUGAAAGGAAUAACCUGUAAUAACUUGGUUUAUUCAGCUGAGACUCAUCAACAAGCUCAGCAGCUUCUUCUAGUACACCCUCAAUUUCAGCAAUCUCACUACCAACUCCAUCUGAUAUUAUAUCAGCCCGCUGAAUAGACAGAUGCAGUAAAACAAAUCUCCAAAAACAUGACCUAGCUUUUGCUGAAUGUGCUAAAUCUUGCCACUGUCCAUCAAAAAAGGAACAAUGAAGAAUACCCAAAAAAAAAAAAACAAAGUUACAACAAACCAAACAAAAAACAAAUACAAACAUGCAUUCACCUUUGAAAGCAUAGACUCAGCAAGAAUCUCUGAGAGUGCUUGUAUUUUAUAGCUUGGACCCAGUGCCACAGCUUUGAUGUCUUGCCAUUGCUUCACCAGGGCUUCUGCUUCUUCCACAGCCAUUUGUUCCAUUUGUAGCAAAUUACCAGCAACAGCAGGUAGAAGUGAGAGAUCAUCAGUGGGCCAUGAAUUCUGCAAAGUUUCAGCAUCUUUUUGAUGCUUAAGGUGUCUCCUGAAUGGAAUCAACAGGUUCCUAAGCUGGGCCCAAAUGUUUCUAUCAAUAAAGCCAGAAGCACUUUUUAAGCCUGAAUGUUGACUCAUGGUCCAGGCGAGGGCUUCUUGGCUCAUUGGGUGACCAGAGUGCCAUUUAUGUGAAAACUUAGUGUGAAUAAAUUGCAUAUUGAAGAGCUUAAAGGCACCGAGUAGAAAGCAUCCCGCAAGAGUAGUACUUACAGCUUUCCCUGCUAUGUCUCCUACCAAAUACCAGCCUUUCAAACUUUCUGUGUGAUUUAUUCCAAGGUUUCUCUUUAGCUGAAAACAUGCGCCACUAGGGCUACCAGGACCCUUAACUAAAGCUGGUUGACUCUGAAGGUCAGCUGGUGCAAGUUGCUUGACAGCUUCACCCAGAUGUCUAGUUGAAUUAAUAUGUGCCUUCUGCUCUGCAGACGCUCCAUGGACAGGAAAAAGAACAAAGGAUGGUGGUCGAUAACUAGUAGAAGGGACCCUUUUCAUGUUUCCUAUUUUUUGCUUGCCAACACUUAGAAUCUGCUUUGGGCCCCCAAAAACAUUGGCCUAAAAUCAAUAAAUAAGAUUUAGAACAUUCCUAAUCCAAAGAGCCAUGCUUUGUCACAUAUCCAUCCGGUACAGUACUAACCAAUGAUGGAGAGCAAUCUCGUGUAUCGGGAAACAGACAUAGAACAGCAUCCUUCAGCCAUGUUUCCUGAUAAAUUUCAGCAGGUCGUCUGGCAUAAGACAAUUUCAAUCUUAAGGGAAGUUCUCUGAUCAGUAAUAGCUAUGUUUGCAACAAGAAUCUAGGUCAUCUACCUUCCCAAAUUGCCCCUUUUGUCUUGGACAGCAAUAAGGGUAAAGUUAGGUUUUCCAUAACUUCCCAGUGUCAAGAGUUCAUAGUCAAAAGAAACUGUGCACCAAUUGCUGAAUUGCAACAAGGAAGUCACAAUUUGUGAUGAAAUGAGAUAGUUUUUAUUUUAUUUUUUUAAAUUAUAUUUGAAGGUAUUGCUGCAACCACUAAAUUUUGGAAUUGACAUCAGACAAUUUGUUUAUCCUCUAUUAAAAUGGAAACGUAACAACAUGACAUCAGAUAAUUUGUUUACCCUCCAUUAAAAAGGAAACGUAACAACAAGCAGACUUACAUAAAACAUAACAAGAGUUCUCAACAUCUUAUGACAAUUUACAACCAGUAAGAAAACAACAAAAGAACAGCUUUGCAAAAACAACUUUACAAAACAUAUUAUGAAGUAGCACAAAGAAAGAAGAAUAGCUACACAAGAACAACUUUGCAAAACAGACUUGUAAAGCAAGACAUGGUUCAUUAAUUAAAAUAUGAUAACUUUUUUUGGUAUACAAUAAAGGGCAUCUAGAGGGAUAAAUUUCUUGAACAACACAAAGACAACAGUGAAUCUGUAUUUCCUAACAACAUCGCCUACAAGUUUAUCAGCAAAAGUGAAUGGAGGUAGGUGAGCGAGAAAUAGCAGGGGUGCAACAAAGGAGAAUGCAUUUAUGACAUGUGACUGAGCACCUAAGAAGUUAUAGUACCAUGUAUAUCGUUUUAUAAUUGCAUAUAUGCAAGUUUGUCUGUCUGUCCAUCCAGUAAGCAUUCAAUUCAUUGCAUGUAUGUACAUAUCUGCAUACGUAUAUAUGUAUAGCAGCUCCAGUCAUAAAAUAAUACAUUAAUGAAACGCAUGUAACAUUCAAUUUAUUGUUGCUUAAGUCAUAUUAUAUGGCUCGUGGAUCUUUGCAUACAAAAUGAACAUCGUAUUAUGCCCUAUGUUAUUAAUCUUAGGAGUAAAAUAUAGUUUUGUGGUACCAGAAGUUAUUGUCUUCUAAAAGUGUAGACUUGUGUAUGAGUGUUCUCGCAGCAUAUUUGCAUACACAUUCUACCCAAUCUUCAAAACUAAACAGCAGGUAUACGUUUGUAAGCAUUCAAAACAUUGGGAACUCAGAGGGUUGUCGCUGUAGUGUCGAAUGAGCAUCCCAAGACAAGGGAUGAGGGUCAUUUCACCACUUGAGCCACUACCAAAACUCCAAAAGCAUUUGGAAUAAUCAGUUGGUAUACAAAUAAUUGGUAGGCAUACAUAUCUGAGCAUUCAAAGUAUUGGGCAUGGAAAGAGAGAUUGCAACUGAAAGCAUUGAAUUAGCAUCUCAAGCUGAGGGAUAAGGUUGUCAUUUCACCGUUCCAGGCUUUGAGCCAUUAGUGAAAGCCCUUACAGUUGUUGACAGUUCUAAUAGAACUCAAGAAAUUGAAACGUUCCAACUGAAAGCAACAAUAUGGAACAUGUAGCAUGAGUUGUAACCAGAGAAAUUUUUUGAAGCAUUAGAUCAGACAUCUGACAGAGGCAUGUGAAAAACUUUUUGAAGCAUUAGAUCUUUGGAACAAAAGUGUGGCAUUUGCAACUAUGGGUACCUAUAAGUGAAUAAAAGCUCAGGCACAGAGUGCUCUUCUUAGCUUGUUUAUUAUUAACUUUUUUAAUGACCGAAUGCUGGAUAUGUCUUUUAUUCCCAAAUUGAGAGGUGAAAACCACAAUUUAUCUUGAAGGAUGUCCACUCCCUCCUUUACUUCCCAUAUCACAAAAACAUUACGCCAAUGUCCAUUUCAUGUCAAUACCAUGCCCCCCUUAGUCCGGUCAAUUUACCAAACCUACUUAGCAGCUUUCUUUUCUUUUCUUUUCUUCUCUUUAUUGAUAGGAACUCAACAGUUCUUUUGAUGGCAGGCUUCUUUUGACGUCAAAUUCCAGUAGACCACUACAAUCUCCUCAAUCAUCUCUGAAGGUAUCUUAUGCUGACAUGAAAUACCUAUACAGAUUGGAGAAGGCAGAAUUGAUAAGGAUUAGCAUUACUUCAAUAUUUUUUCCUUGCAUCUCUCUCUCUCUCUCUCUCUCUCUCUCUCUAUGUGUGUGUGUGUGCGUGUGUGUGUGUGCUCUUGCGCGUGUGUGAAAUAGGAUCUCAAAUUGACUGAGAAGACAAAGACCCAAGCGAUCUAUAAAUACAUCACCAAAAUCAGUAAAUCAGUUUCCAAAAGAAAAGGAAGUAUAUGAAUUUUAGCAAUCUCAGUGGAACAGAUAUAAAUAAUGCAAUAUAUGGGUUUACAGAGGCCACGUACCAGAAGCAGCACCACCUAAAUAAGUUGAUAUCUCACUUGAAGGGAAAAAAGGGCUAAGAUCACCAGCAUUGGAAGCUGUCUAAAUGAAUGUAAUGUAGUGAAUGCAAGGUUUUUGAGUGAACUUCUACUAUAUUUAUAUUGACAUGAGAAAACAAGCAGAAAAACUAUAUAUAUCUGUAUUUCUUUAUUAGUUACUCCCAUUAUCUCUUCUGUUUUUCAAUGCCCGCGAUCAGCUAUUUUCACAUUCAGCAUUCAUUCCUAUGAAGACAUGAGACCUUAGUCAUUGUAAUUCUUCUACCCUUUCCCUUGUAAUCAAAAGGAAAAUAGCUAUGUACUGCAUAAAUUUCAAUAUCACUUGAAAGAAAAGUGUCCACAAUGAAUACUGAAGUAAACAUUGAAGUUUCCUCAAUUGAUUGACACUUGAGUCCAAUAAAUCAACACCUUCAGGAUUUGUUCAUAUUUUUAGACAAAAAGAGAAGAGAAAGCCCGCAAGGGGGGGGGGGUGUUGUUGGGUGGUGGCAGGGGGCACAGAUCUUCAAUGGCUAACACUUUCAAGAAAAAUAUAUGAAGAAAACAUAAUAAAUUGUCAGGAUAAACCGGCUGCAAGACUAAUCUAAAAGCUUCCUAAUCUGUUCCUACCAAAAAGAAAUAAUGUGCAGCAUAUGACGUACCAACAACUGAUUAACAGUGCCCUUGACUUUGUUGUCUCUUACUGUAGUUGGAUCAAAAGUCCGUAAAGUUGAAUUUCCAUUGACUUCAAGUUGGUGAAGUUUUCCAAUAGCUGCUGUCCCAUCACCCUGAGCACCAACAGUUAGUUUUUGUAUAUCUAAAUGCAAAACAAUACAAAUGUCCCUUAAAAAUUUACCUGCCCAAGAAGAAAAGAGCAGAAGGCUUCCUCAAAUUUUAAAUCCACACCAUCUGAUGCAAGCAAACACUCACAGAUGGUUUUUGCUCUAGCGAUCUGCAUCACAGAUUACCAAGAGUUAGACCAUUGCAUUGAGACAAUAAAAUUAUCGUCUUUAGCUAAGAAAAGGAUACCUUAUCAAUUUGUCUUUUUGAAAAUCCAAGAGCAAUAUGAGCUAUCAUCCCCAUAUAAAAACAAUUAUAAUCAAUUACAGCUCUCUGAUUCUGUGAUUCUAGAGAUUUCUUGUUCUUGCGACUAACAGCCAAGCUGUCCCAAGAAAGAAGAUCUACUAUUUCAGUAGCCAUUAGCUUAUUCAUUGCCUGGCUCAAGAAACAAGACCAGUCUUGAACUCUACAUGAAGAUUCAACAUCAAGACCCUGUCUAAGCAAUUCACGCAAGGCUGAAAUUGCUCCUCUCCUACGUUCAGCAUUAUCAGGAGUGCGAGGCAUGUCUAAUAUCUCCAAUGUGCAAGCAGGUGCAAGCUCCUCUAAGGAUUCUUCUAUCUAGAAGCAUACCAAACAAAUCCAGUUAUUUGAAGGAAUGCGUGAUGAAUGGAAAUGGACAUGUAAGGUGUUUGCCUGUGAUAGCAAUGGCAUUUUUCCUAGAGAAAUUUUGCUCCUCAAUAGGUAUUGAGCACGAGCUAGAGCUUCAAAUCCUUCAGAUACUUUGCUUUUUUCAAAACCAGUCUUCGCAAUUGAGCACUUCAUCAAAAAAAAAAAGUGAGAAGAUAAUUGACAGAGUGAUAAAUACUGACACAAUUAAAAAGCAAUGCGUAAAAUGAUUUAUUUAAAAAAAAAAAAAAACUUGUCAAUACUUCAGAUAGUGCCAUGGAGACAAGCAAAUCAUGAACAUAUGGUUUAGCAUCAGGAAGUUGCACAGCUGCUCGACCAAUAUCCAAUACCAGUUUUUCCUGUCCCACCUGUAUGAAAUAAUUAGUCUUCUGUCACCUCUAAUUGGGUUAAAUUAUAACACAUAAAUACCUUAGUGUAGCAAAUUAGUAUCAGAUUUUGGAAACUGAAUUUUGACGUAGUAUAAUAGACAUAUUCCAUGCAUAUCAAUCAGUAUACAUAUCCCACCUCACAGGGUGCCUUUCUUGAAUAAGAAUCAAUGCAUAUAGCAACAUCCAUAUAGGACCUUUCUACAUUCCAAUAUUCCAAGCAAAAUUGGCAUAUAAUUAAAUGAAUUAUCAUUACGAUGCAGAAAUGCUUCAAGUGCACAAACCUUCUUAGAGGUUCUAAACAUAUAUAUUCAAGCUCUGAAUCAUAUAACAGUGCAGACAUCACUAUACAUAGGUGCAAUUGUGUUGAUAACCAUGUUAGUACAUCUUGAAUUGCCUUUUUUAAGAAUUGGAGGUCCCAAGUGAGAAUAACUUUGAGGAAGUAUUUGUUACUGCUUGAUCUGUUUCAGCUGACCAAAAGCAUGUGAAAACUCUAUGCAUUCCUAUGGAAUACCAUAAAAUGGAUUCGGAAACCAAGCGUAUAUCUAAAUUAGGAGGGCAGGUAAAUUCAAAUAAGCGCAUCACUAAUUAGAUGUCUUAAGAAUAUUAACCCUAUAAUCAUGACAGCUCUCUCAAUUCAGAUGACAGAUUUCCUUCCUCACUGCUAAGUUGGAGUUCACAACAUUGGCAAAGUCGUAGCAAAUUUGACCAACCAAGGUAGAAGCUCAACCUAAAUUUUCCUAAAGCUUAAAGCAGAAAGUUGGUGCUAAUUAAUAAUUCAACUUUCUGACUAAAUGGAGAGGAAUUAUUGAGGAUAUGCGAUCAGCAUUUCUAUUAGAGCUCUAAGAUGGCUUUUCAAUCAUAUAUUUCUCUUGUACCAAAUUCUCGAAAUCAAAGUUUGACCAAACCAAGCAAUAAACAAUGUUACGAAACUAUAGCAAGCAAAUGGGAACCAGGGGGCCACCUAGUGCCUAUGCAUCAAGCAGUUGCAUAGGCACGUGUUUAAACCUAAAAAGACAGAUAUGGCACAACUUACCAUAUACAGCACAUCAUUGGGAACUACUAACUUGCAACAGCAAUACUAAUUUAUAAAUCAAUCUAAAUCUCCAUACUCAAAAUGAUGCAAAAUGUUAAGGGGUGAACCGAGGCAGCUCCGUCUAGGAAGACCAUCUCGGCAGCCAUCAGUGUUUUAAGAAGCAGAUUUGGUAUUCAAGCUGCAUAUGUGAGUGCAUAUAUGGCUGCUCUUUAUUAACAAUUUAAAUGAAAUAUAAUAUUAAUUAUUAAAACAACAACAACAAUAAUAAUAAUCAUAUAAUAACAACAAUUUUAAAUGGAUGGAUAAUAGCAAUAUUAAUAACAAAAAUAACUAACAAUUAGUGCUGAUUACCUAGUAUCUUACGACCAAUAGCAAUAACUAUAACAGAAUCAACAUUUUACCACCAUUACUACUCAUAUCAGGCCUACCUAAAAUCCACAUCAAACCUAAUCAUGAGCUUGAACCUGCUUCACCUACAUGGGUCCACAAAAGAGUAGGUUGUAUACAUAGUCCGAAAAUGCUAUGUUGGCUCACAUAUGCAGUCAUAUGAUAAUAAGCAUGCCACAUAUACAGCCGUUCAAUCAUAAGUUGGCCAACUUUUUGAUCCAUGGGUGGUAUGAUGGCAUACGCUACUGCAUAUAGACAAUGUGGUGUGGUCAAAGGACAGUGUUGAUGCAAAAAUCCGCCGACGUCGGAGAAGUUGGAGUCGAGGGAGUCGCGGUCGCCGCUGGGACCUGCAAAAAAAGUCUAAACCGGAGUUGGGGGUGCUCCGGCAAGACCUUUCGACGCUCAAGUCAGUUCUCUGCCUCAACAAGAAUGGAGUGCUCGAACGAAAAUUUUUNNNNNNNNNNNNNNNNNNNNNNNNNNNNNNNNNNNNNNNNNNNNNNNNNNNNNNNNNNNNNNNNNNNNNNNNNNNNNGUAGCAGAAGCUCGGAGUAUAUCGCUUGUAGCAGAAGCUCGAUGUAGAUCGCUUGUGGUGGGGGCUCGGAGUCCGGCCCUUGUAAGAAUUCAGAUGAGGUCUACCUGCAAUGGGAGCUCAGGGCUGAAGUCCGACUCCCGUAGGAGCUCAGACGAAGUCUCCCUGUAGUAGGAGUCCGGAGAAGAAGUCCGGCUCGGAUGAAACCCAGAAGGCGGUCGACCGCCGUAGAAACUUGGAUGGAGCCCGUCCGUCGUGGAGAUCUGUUGUUGGGAAAGUUCGGCCACUGACGAACUGACGUAGUUCUGGAAGAAAUUCGGAUUGGAGUCGAUCGAAUCCUGUCGGAAAAGAUCCGGAAGGGGUCCGGAGAACGGUUGACCCUUGUAGGAGAUCGGCCGAUGGUAGAAUCCAGAGAGCACUUGGAACAGCCUGAUGGACAACCGAAGAAGCUUAUCGCUGGAGAAGCCCGGGAGAUGCAGCAGGAGUUCGUCCGUCGGGAGAACCCGGUCGACACUCGUGGAAGAAGCUGUGGGAGUUUAUCCGUCGGCAGAACUUGGAAAUAUUGCGGAAGCUCGACCGCCGGAGAGGUUCGAAAAGAUGUCGCCCAAGGUUGGACGUCGGCAGAGUCCCGGGAGGAUCACUCCUGGUAUGAACUUCGGCUGGGGGGGUAUUUUAUACCCAACAGACAGCAUAAACACGUGCAGGCCUAUAUGCUGCAGUAUGCAAUCCAUUUCAUAACACUGACAGCUAUGUUUUGAAACAUUGCCGAUACAGUGGAUCUGAGCUCAGCUAUUAUUUUUAACACAAGUUUAACAGUGUUGUUUAGCUGAUCAACUUAUUAAAUGAUUGUGAGAAAAGUUAAACCCCUUUUCCAGAUGAAUGCAUCAGCAUGUUAGCAUGAAAAAGGAGCACUGAGAUCAUUACAUCAGCUUCAUAAGGAAAAUAAAAGUUCAUAACUACUCAGAUUGACAGAUGUUUGCCUUCUUCUUUAGCCAUAUUGCACGAUGAUUUAAAUAAAAAAGUCUAUAUACCACAAAUUUUGGCAAGAAUACCUCCUGUAGAAGGCAAAGGGCACCAGGCAGCCAAUUCCAAGGAAUAUGAAGAAUAGAUUUUGGUGGAAUAUUUUCCUUUAUAUUGCCAGCAUAGUCCAGCUCAAAAAGAAGUUUAUCCCUCACAUCCAUCAAAAGAUCCUGUGAAUCAGCAACAGAAACAACCAGAUCUGAAACUUUUGGAAUUUUCCUAGAAAAGACAACGUAUAACAUAGAAAUAUUAAUACCAAACCAAAUACCUGCCGGGAAAUAAUGACAUCUGCUGUGUAUCCAUCUUCAAUCUGUGAAUUCUUCAGCUCCAUUGCUGCUUUCACAAUCUCAUCCUUUUCAGCUUGCUCAGGUAAGCCAAGAAUCUGCAAAAUCAUUCAGAAGGCUGCCAUCAUGAUAAUGAAGAUAAUGAGUUAAAGAUAUGACAAUUCAGUAUAAAUCAUAGCACGGGUUACUGUGCACCACCUUCUUGGGAUGUGACCUGUAAAAGGACCAGCAAAAAUAGUAUAUUAAAUAAGUACAUGGGUAUAGUUGCUUAUGUUAAAGAAGAAUAUUAGGGUUCUAGGGCUGUAAAAGGACCAUUUGUAAGUCUCUCCUGUAACCAAUCUCACAGCAUCUUAACAUCACGAAGGCAACACUCAUCUCUUUGAUACAUACCUCAUCUUGAUUUGUCUAAAACACAUCAGUUCACUUCUCAAACAGCUUUUCCGUUUUAGAACUAAUAGCAUAAUUGUUUCCCAAAUUCUAAUUUUAUCACCUCCCUUAUUCUUCCUAAUAUUGUACAGUUUCUUAGUCAAUUGUUGUUUUAUUGCAUGGUUAUAUUUGCAGAAAUGAGACUAAAAAAGCAGAAGGCAAGAAAUCAAAAUAAUCUCAAGAACUGUGGUAUCAGAAUUCCAGGGUCCACUGAUUGGUAUUUAUCAUUUAAUUGAGUCUCUCAGGAGAUGCAACUCUAUUAGGAUUUCUUUCUAAGAUAUUACAAAUCAAAUUAAGAGCGCAAGGAAAUACAUCAGAAAGUAUGCAUGGCCUUAAAAGGUAACUUAUAAUGCCUCCCCUUGGCAAUGAAGCACCCAUAAGGAGGUUCAUGGGGAAUCAUAGCACAAGAUUUCGACCCACUAGUAAAUCAUAGAGUGGAAUGAUGAUUACGGGACCUGAGAUUGCUUUUGGAUGCAAAUAUUCGGAUCAAGCAAAUCAAAAGGCAUUCAAAAACUCAUUUUACUUCGAAAUCAAAUACACAAUACCAUAAUUCUUCACACCCCCACCAAAACAAAACAAAAAAAAAAAAACAAAGAAAUCAAUACAUGCAAUGGGAUAAUAUUCCAAGUAAAUAUGUCGCCAUCCUCACCUGAUAACAAGUGACGGGAACCUCAACGCCCGAUCGAACCUGGCCAUUUGCCACGGCCGGCCCCUUCAUCACCCUCACCCUCGCCUGCCCGGAGAUCUCCCUCCGGAAGGAACGGGAUCUAGUCUCCAGAGAAACCUCGUUUUGAACUCCGCCGUUCCCCUUACAACCAAGCGAGGCCACGCCGCCCGAAGCCAAGGCCUUGCGCCUCUCACUCAGACCGCAAUUCCCGAAGCCAGGGCCCGGCCGGGGCAAGCCGAGCACCAGAUGAGCAAACGUCAUGCCCAAAACGAAAGCCCAAUCACCUCUCCUUCUCCCGCUCCUCCCCCAUUUCCAUGGAAAAUAACGAUCGAGUGGAGGGGAGUUGUUACAAAUCCUUGGCGACGGUUAGGGCUUUUUUUUCUUGCAUUGUCGGACAAAAUUUUGGAGAUAGAGAUGACACAAGGGGGUAGAAGAAAAAGGCCACGGCGGAGCGAGAGAAGAGAAAAAGAAGAGGACGGGAAGCCUUGACGCCCAAGCUUCGGUGCGUUUGAAGAGAGGGAGGAGCGGAGCGAGGAGUGAAACGGGAAAAGGGACAGCUGGGGAGACUAAAAGCGGAUUGCUUUCUUUUUUUUUUUUAUUUAUUAAUUUGUUUUUAUUUUUAUUUUCCUUGAGCACAUACGGACUAACGGUCCAGAAUCCUAUGAUCGGGGAAAGUUCGAAACAAAUAGAGUUCCUUUUGUAAAGAGUCCCCUUGUGCCAUCCAGCCACUGGUCCUGUUGACUUUCCAGUACAUACGAUGAAUACCAAUAAAAUGAUAGUUCCUCGUCACACACCAAAUAUCAUGAAUAAAAAGAUACAGCAUCAAACGAUUGUCCUUACAAUCAUAAUGGUCGAGACUCCCUCGAUCAUCAACCUUUCAAAUCAUCUAUAGCUCCACCAUCUGAGCCAUGCUGUCAAUGAGAUGACACCCACCAGCAGUCAAAAAUUUAAACUCAAAUUUGCAAAUUACGAAUCAUAUAUCCUCUUUACUGCUUCUCAUAUUGCCAUCAAAAUUGCUCUUGAAAUAUUUGAACAUAGAAACUCCUAAGUGAUAAAUACUGAAUCAGAGUGUUGUUGCUUUAAGAAGCAAACAAAUGGGCAUCAUAUUAAAUUUUUUUAAUAGAUAAAAUAAUAUUUUUUUGAUAAAAUACAUAUAUAAUUUUAAUACUUCCUGUAAAGCAAUAUGAGAUAUCUACGUCAGUAUAUUGCCACCCAAAUAAGAACGGGAAGGGAACCAGCAAUUUCAAAAUAAAAAUACCAGGAGGCCCACCCCUUGCUACCUUAUAUGAUGGAAUUGCUGGCUUACAACAUGAUAAAUCCACCAAUCUUCUCAUGCCAGUGGCAUGCCAAAGUACCAAGACAUCUUUUUGCCAACAGGACUUAGCUGUGCAGUCUUUCUCAUUUUGAAAUGUUAGGCUUUUUCCUGAUGUUAUAGCUGAUGAAGGCUAAAGUAUCAAAAUGCCAGAUUAUGCAAUAAAUUGAGACUAUUUAUUUCUUCAAAGGUUGGUUUUAAUAGAACUUGAGUAAGAAAGCCAAAAAAUGAUAUUAUUGAUUUUAGGCUGAUAAUCUAAAUUUAUAUCAGCCCAGACACAAUUGUUUUCCCGGUUCUGAUAAACUGCUAAUAUUUGGCACCCUCCCUACUUAGAAGAGAACAAUUUAAACACGAAUCAAUAUCUGAGCCAAACAAUUGAAAACAAAUCUCUCACAGCACUGCAAAUUUGCUAAGAUGUAGAAGAGUUUCUGAAGGUCCCACAUGUCAACCGUCGGGCUCAAGGUUUGGUAGGGGCUGCCUUGGAACCCUCCAGCCCGAGUUCAACCAUACCUGACAGCUAGACAAGGAGAAUGAAUGGAUAACAAACAGAAGAACACAUCCUUUCAUGUCUUCGAGGUCAACCUCGAUCAAAACCACACUCACAAGGAGAUUAACACCGAACUACUCACAAUAGAAAACCCUCAGGCACCUCCAGGAGAGCAACACUGAAGCACAUUCACACAAUACGUACAUCAGUAAAAGCAAAAUAUGUUUUUUCUAACCCUUCGAACAGUCAGUAUCUGAUUAGUCCGGCACUACCAAAAAACCGAGACGGCCACCUUCCAUCACCCCCCCUUGCAGAGACCAAGGGCAUUACAGUUUUUGUACUACAUUGAAUAUCACCAAAUCAAAAGAUUGAUCCUUCACAAAAAAAAAAAAGGAUAAAAGUUAGAAGAAUAGAACUUCAAAAUAAACUUAAAGCCAAUUUUCCAUUUGAGAACGGUCCAGAACGAUGUAUUCCAAUAAACACAUCCACAUAAGAAAAUGGCUGGCCGCCCAGUGGAUCCAAAAUUUACAAAGAUACUGUCAUAUAAGGAGCUCUACAAAAAGCCUCAACAUCUGUCAUACCACAGCAAAAUGCCGCACCGGCCAAAACAACAACAGACUGAGAUUACAAACUGCAAAAGAAGAGGAACCAAUUGAGGGGAUAUGACAGAUUACUUAGCAACAAAACAUCAGGAUAUUGCUGUGCCGUCUAUCAUAAAUGCCCAUUCCAGAAUGAUAAAUCAAAAUCAGGUCAACAACUGUCCUACAGUUAGUCAUCAGCAUCAGCAGAUGAAGUUGAUAAUGGCUGAGAUGACUUUAACUCCUACGAUGCUGAUGCAGUUGGGUCUCCAAUUUCCUGUGGCAGAUCUGUUUCCAUCAUGUGUUUCUCUUCAUCUUCAGAUUCUACUAUAGGUUCUUCAGAUUCAGCCUUUGACCUGACACAGUACAGCGAAUUAUAAGAUUUGAGAUUCCAUAACUGUUUCCAGUGGAAUGACCCGGUAUCCUACAAGUGAAGGUGCUCAUAAAAAGCCAUAUCUGUUCAAGAUUUUCUAAAAGCAACACAUUUGAUUGAUCAAAGCAUCAAACCAUCGUGUCAAUCAUGUUCAAGAUCCAAAAGAACCACUAGUCAUGAUUGGAGGUCCAUGAAAGGCACAGGAUCGAAUUUAUAGAAGUCUAGUUAUAUCUCAGAUCAAGGUUUUAAAUCCCACAAAAUGGGGCUAUCUCGGUUUUUCCAUGAAACGAGACGCGUUGUCGUCCCGACAUUUGGGACAAAGAAUAUCCCAAGACGUCUCAAUCGGGACGUCCUUGUCUCGAUACAUAGGAUGGUACCCCAUCCCCGUGUCUUGUGGGACGUCCUGUUGGGACUUGAAUCCUCAUCUUAGAUAUGAAGGAUAGUAGGAAUUCUUUAUAAAUCAAAGGUGCAUUUAAUCAAACCCAUACCAAGGAUCCCCUACAAGGAUAACCGUGUAAGAGAAGAUAAGGGGCAAGAAAAGCUCAAGAGCCACGAAGACUAAAAGCACAACAAACUAUUCACAGGAGUUGAACUAAAGCAGGAAAACGAUAAGAUGGCUUUAAAUUCACCUUGGUUAAAAGCAAAAAUGCAGUGAUAUGAAACACUCACCUUGGUUUAAAAUUACGGACUUUUAAAUCCUGUAUAACACGGAUGAAUGCAUGAAGAGCCAUUUUCUUAACCUGGAUCAUGUUCAAUAAAGUUAGAAACCAUAACAGGAAUUGGAACAAAAUCUUCAAGAUGCAUAACAACAAACAAAUUUAAUAGAAGCAUGAAAAAGCACAAUUAUGGAUUUAUAGGGAAGAAGCAUAGGACCAAAUUAGUAAACCUCUAGCUUAUCUUCCUUAGCCCUGUGCUCUUCUGGAAGUACACGAAAUUCUUCUGUUAAUCGAAUGCAUUGACGGACAUUCUCAGGAGACACAAAGUCUAGAGCAACCUUUAUGCAUGACUGUUCAUGAGGGAAAAAAAUGUCAAAUUGCAGUUACCAAUGAAUCAAGCAUAAACCCUUGGAUUAAGUCAGAAUAAUAGUUCAUAAAUAACAAAUAAUCCACUUAUCAUGUAAAUAAAAGAGAAGCACACCUUCAAAUUUCUAACUUGAUGGGGACAUCCUGCUGGGAUAAAGACAGCCUCGCCAAGCUUUUGCUCAAAAGUCCAGGGCUCAAUUCCUAAAUGAAUCCAAGAUUAUUAGAUCUAGAUGCCUUCAAUCUUAGCAAUACGAAUGCAUAACAGAUAACCAACAAGGCCAUCAUUGUGUCCAUAAUUAGUGUAAGAUUAACUGACCAUAUUCAUCCUUAAGCUUCCUUUUAUGCUCCAAGGUUAAAUAGAAAGACUGGUCAUGAAUAGGGUGAAGCACCUAUAACAGACGAUUGAAGUUAUUUACAAUGCAAAAAGGAAGAUGAAGUGCAAUACAACAUAAUACUGUGCAUAAUGACUUGUUACCUGUUCAACUGGAGAACAGUGGACAUGCCUGAACUCUCUAGCAUGUUUUUUAAGAUAUUCCUGUAGCUUCGUAACAUCUUCUCUUCUAAAAAUAUCCCACAAAGCACCACCUUCUGGCUGCUUCUGCUCUUUUUCCUCUAUGCUGUCACCAGACACAGCAGAUCGUUGCUCUCUUACGUUAGCUGAACCUCCGGCUUCCUUCACCUCUGCACCAUUUUCAGAAUCUGAAAGUUCCUCCACUUGACCACCAUCAGCAUUUUCAGUGGUUUCAGUGUUGACAGUAACAGGAUCAAGUUCUCUUUUCAUUCGUUGACCAGAAACUGCAGGCUUUCUCCCCCUCCUUUUCUUCCUACUUCUAUUUUUUGUUCUCUCAUCUGGCCCUUCAGAAACUUUAUGAUUGUUACCCUCAGCUUGGAUCUCCACAUCAUUACCAGAUUUGUCUUCUGGUUCGAGAUGAGGAGAUAGCAUCACAGUUUCACCCUCGCUCUGAAUUUCCCCUGAAGUUUGCCCAGGCACUACCUUGCUCGGCUUCUUCCCAAAAUCAGCAGGCUGGCCCCUCUUCUUUUGACCUCGUUUCGUCUUAACCACAAGCAUUUCAUCAUCAUCCUUAACAUUUGCAUUACGCACUUCAUCAUUUUCAGUUUUACUGGAAAACUGACUAGCAUUAUCUCCUUGAUCGACUCCUCUAGAGCAAGAGACUCCAUUGCUUUCAGUUUUAACAGGACACAGAGGGAAAUUGUCAUUACCAUACAGCCCAGUUUGGCAAGCAUCAUUACCUGCUUCAGCUUUGACACCAGUAUCCUGAUCAGAUCCUUCCUCCCAAGCUCCAUUUCUGGCAUUUACCACUGCCAAUAUCUGCAACUGACCAGUUCCUUUCAAGGAGGAUUCAGAUAUAGGAAAAUCUCCAUCAGCAGCGGCACAAGACUGAAUAUCAACCAAAUCAGAUGUGGAUUUAAUCACUGAUGGAUCUUCAGUAUGAACUUCCACAGUCUCUUUUAAAUCAUCACAGACUUUGCCAGAAUGCCGGAUUUCAUUCUGGCAUAUAUUCACUUGACCCAUCUCUGGACUUCUAAGAGCUCCUUCACCAUUCAAAUUACAAGAAGCCAUUUGACCAACUUUCUUCUCUUCCAAUUCACUAGCUGAUGCAUGCAACUUAAUGGUUUUCAGAACAGGCUUGUCGACAGAAAGCUUCAGACAAAUUCCAUCACCUGCUUGACUAUCAUCUUCAGUUGUUUGAUGUCCUUUCAAAUCUUCAUUCUGAGAAAGCUUUUGGUUAUUUGAUAAACAACCAUUUUGUCCCUCUUGUUCAUCAUGCAUUACACCUCUUUCAGCUUCAAUGUCAGAAAAGCUUGCAUCAGCAUCUUUCUGAACAUCCAUUGCAUCCCCAAUCUUAAUAUCUGAAUCGUUCACAUGAGAUUCAGCUAUAGAGAGAGAAUUUAUUUUUUGCUGACCAAAAGAAUCAUCACAUAUCAUAUUGUUGGCUUGAACAGGAUGAUGAAGGUCAUUUUCUAAACUAGGUGCUUGAAUGGAGUGUUUUCCCCCAGCAGUAAAGGUGACAUAUGACUUAUCAUCAGGAGGCUCCAUUACAGAUUUCCCUGGAGAUGGCGAUGAGUUCUCUUCUGGAUCUUUUCGUGUGGUACAAUUCUGUUCUCUUAAAUCUUGAUCCCUGUGUUUCUUUUUCAACUUCUCUAUCCUAGAAAGCUGAUAAUCAGUAAGGGUUAUCUCUGCUGUGUGUGUUAAGACAUUCACCUGGGUAAGCAAUUACAUAUCAGGCAUUAAAAAAUUUCCCUGAUUAAAAUGGAGUAAUGUGCGAAACACAAACUACUGAAAUGAUCUAAAACACAGGCUCAACAACAAAUGCUAAUGAAAAAAGGUUUAAUCUAAUGUACUAAUACUAUUAAAAAACGGCAAACAGAAAAUCUAACCAUUAAAUUCAAUAAUUACAGCCCAUGAUUUUAUAGGUGUUUCCAGAGAUCAAGAGAUGAUAGCCAAAAACAACAAACACCAAAAAAUGAUGGUCACAACAAACACCAAAAAAUGAUGGUAACAACAAACAGACGUUUCUGCUUUAGCUUUUCAACACUUUCCCAAUAAAAAACAGAAAACUUAAAAUGGUUAAUACUGCAGAAGGAUAACCUUUCGGGAGAUAUCAAAUCAUUAAAGCCAGGGGCACUAAUGUAUCCUCAAAAGCUCUGAAAUCAGAUUCUGAGACUAUUGCACAAACAUGUGGAUGAGUUAGGCUAUAUAUGUAUUGACUCACCUCAUACAGAAAACCAAAUGUCAAUUAUCAACAUGGGGUAACUUAUACCAACUUACCAAAAAUUGAGCCACAGAUGAACAUGAUAUUUAUUUUUUUACGGUACACGAACAUGAUAUUAAUAAUUGAAGAAAAAUACAUACUGCAUCAGACAUAUCACAAUGAAGCUUCGUCACGGAAUCACCCCUGCCCAACUCUUGGGGAAGACCAUAAGCAAUAUAUGUUUUGGGUCCCAGGUCUGGCUUUAGAACAUCCUUCGGCAGCUUCACUGCAAGAUUCAGAGGACCAUACCUAGGAUCUGUAUAUUCCGGGAAUGGCAAAGCAGUUAUAAACUCGGCACCAUGGCGAGGUAACCGAUCCUCAAAGGAACUGGCUGGAGGCCAAUCCUUCAGUUUUAGCAUCUCAGGCCAUUGAUUUCUGUGAGUUCGCCCCUCAGUAUAUCCUCUGAAAAAUUGGUGAAUAUUUAUCUCAACCUACAACAUACAACAUAUGCAUCAGGGAGUCUCAAGUUAGAUAGAUAGCACAAAACACCACCAUGCAGUUGGCCAGUCUGCCAACACAUUUCCUAGCAUUAGACUGUGAAAAUUAUACAGGAUGGUAAAAACACAUCAAACAAGGAACACACAGCUUUCAAAAAUAGACAUAGGCAACUGCCUACUUGCAUGACAUUCAUCAGAUAGUCCAUUUUAUCCAAUGUAAAAAAUGAACAACCAAGGAACACACAUUCCCCAACUGCAGAGACGGUUGCAACUACAUAUCCACAAAAGUUUCUUCAAAGAUUCUUUGCUUCAAUAGGUACAUGUAGUGUGUACAUUUCCAUCUGAAUAGAGCAUUACCAAAUUACAUUCCUUCAGAAAUCUAUUCAAAUGUUUACUAGGAUUUAAAUUAAUUGACAAACUUCAUACAUUGGUCAAAAUGUACUUCACUGUGAGUAGAUUUUACAACCGCAGCAGUUUUUGUUCAUGCUUAACACAAUGGAACAAAUUGUCAUCCAACUAAGGAUGCAUCAGUUGCAUAUACAUGAUUAAGAAGUUUGGAAAGCUCUGUCAGUCAUGAUGCAAAGAAAAUAAAUAAAGGAAAAUAUAGACCGUUCUACAACUUUUUCAACAGAACAAGGACAAUACCAAAGAUGUGUGUGUAUUCAAUGAAACUACUUUAGAAACAUCUCCUAACAUCAAAAACAUCAAUGAGAUACCAAAACUAACCUCACACCAAUCCAAACAAUCAAUAGCCUUUACUGCAAGCUGCUCAGAUGAAGCCUUAGACUUUGUCUUCUCUCGCAAUGCACGCCACAUAACCAUUGGCUCCCAGCUCAGGCCAGAAGUAAGCUCAAGUACAUCACGAACAAUCACCGGCUCUCCCUUUAACCAGUGGUUUUGGAAGUGCUUCAGUUCUCCCUGUUGAAUAUCUCUAGCAGUAGGACAGUAUAAAUAAUUAUCAUCAGAAUUCUCCCUAUAGGCUGCUUUCCGCAACAUUUCACUCCCAGCAUUAAUAUUACCAGAUGCAGUGAAACAGGCACAUGAACUGGACAUGUCCCCAAAUUUUGCAAACCUAUUGCUCCUAGCAAUUGCAUCAGCUUUCUCCUCUAACUGGAAAAGCAACUUUUCAGGAAACAUGCACUUCAGCUCCAAGAGGGAGCUGCCACAGCCCCCAAUCUCCUUUGGCGGGCAAGGAAUGCUGCCAUCACUAUUUGCUUUCCAUCUUGUCAUAUGAGUCAUUCGAUCUGUAGAGAUAGCAAUCCGGUUGUCUAUAGAACUCUCUUGACUUUUUUUCCUCUUCUCUUGACCUUUAUUCAUGCGACGAGGACAUCCCCCAUGCACAUAAUCCUUACCCCUGUCCUGAUAUGGCAAAAUUACUGUCCCAUCACCACCAGCUAUGUGACCUUCACGUAGUUCCCGGCAGCAACUAAGGCAUAAGUCAUAUGAACAGCGACGGCAGCUUCUAUGGAAAUCAACAAUAGAGGUUCUGCAAUUGUCACUGCUCCAGAACAAUUUCAGAGAUCAGGUUUUUGAAAGGCUUAACUUAACCACAUGCGGAGCCUAUUACUUAUGAAGAGCAAAGUUUCCAUCAGUUGAGAUAUCAGUCAGUAAGUAUCAAAGGCUCAAUGAUACUAUAUAACUAAUAUCUCAGAUGAAAUUUCCUAAUCAAUCUUUACAAUCUUAAAUGAACAUUUAACAUAAAUGCUUUUGUGGAAAUUGUUAGAAUACACGGAAAGUUCUUCAGGCCCACCUACUGCUAGCUUGGCAACUUAAAAUUUAAUCCACCAUCCAUAUUGUGCAAAUUCCUGAGAAUCAUGCAAGUCCCCUCAAGCCAUGUGGCAGGAGGAACUUUUCAUGUCCAUCAGACAAGGGCCCCCCAGCAUUACUCAUUUUUAAAUAUUAGAUAUUUAAGUUUAUGCAAUAAGAAUAGUAUGUAAUCAUGGAUUUACCAAUAUUGGCCAAUAUUUAGAUAUCUAAGUUCCAUGGUAUCAGCCAACAUAUGGAAAAUAUCCAGUCCUCAUAUAUUUUUUCCAAGUGUUCCAUUUUGGCCAAGAGAAAACCCAAUUUAGGUCUAGAUCGGCAUAGGCCAUCAAACAAGAUGACCGAGAUCUAUGGUUUUAAAAAAUCUUGAUGAGGGAAAGAGUUUUACCAGUAGACACGUUCAUCCUUUUGACAGUUAGCUCUUUUUAACUUUAUUUCAGUCAAUGCACAACCUGGUCAGGAGAAAAAUGCAGCAGCAGGGGAGAAAGAUCAGAUGGAAAAGAAUGGAUGGAAAAGGUAUACAACUUUAAGUCCAAUUUAUGCCAAUGAUACCUCGGAUCUUGGCCUCGAUUUCCUUUUCUGCCAUCUGUUCUUGUUGUAGUUCUUUCAACCAUGGCAGCAAUAAGCGUACAAUAUAACAGUUGUAUUGGACUCGGUCAGCAUUCUUAAUCUUUUUUUCAGGAGGCUAGAGUCAAGAUAGAGAGUGUGUCAUCAGAUAUGAUUACAUAAGUAGAGAACCAAAUGCAACAAUGAUCAAGAAUUCCAAAUACCAAAAUCAGACCUCAGAAACUCCUUUCAUUCGCAAGCAUGCCUUGCAAUUGCAAUUGUUGCAGCAAACUGGGCAUUCUUUUGCAAAUUCAGCCUCCGAUAAGUGAGGAUACCUGAUAAAAAUCACAAAGGAAAAAGCAUAUACAUAAUAGAACAUCUAUAUUUUCAAGCUUGCAAUUUUCACUAUUACACUAUGAAACACUGAAUACCUUACCACUGCAGCCACUGACCUCAAAAGAAUACCUAUCAGCUAACUCCAUACAACCUUCUAAACAGUCAAAAGAACAGUAAAAUUUGGAAGCAUAGAACAUAUUCCUUAACGAUGUCAAUGAUAACAGCAUAAAAUUUACACAUUUCUACAAUUCAGCCCUGGCAGAAAGAAGGUAGAAGAAACUUUUUUUUCUUAGAAAAAAGAAACGGAUGAGACAUGGAAUAGUAAACGAGCAAAAAGGGAAAUAUGGAAUUUAUCAUAAAAUUGCGAUGAAGAGCUUUUAAAGGUUAAAACCUACAAAUGAGAACAUACAUUUACAAGAAGAAUGAAUAGAUAAAGAAGAAAGGUGCAAGGAUCAUCACUCACCAGCGAGUCAUGCACGGUACACAAAAGCGCUUCCUUUUGCACAUCAAACACCAUACUACCCUUCCCUUAUCAUUCCUCUGGCAUUGGUGGCACAUUAGGGCAUCCUCCCCUGUCAGUACCCUCCUCUUAGAACCCUAAAAAAGAAGAUACAUGCUAUAAAUUAACUGCAUUCGACCAAACCAAAGAGAUAAAGUCGUGCGUCCAACCCAUAGUGGAGAGAAUUUAUUACCUCAGGUUUUUUCUCAGGGCCUAAAACCUUGUUGGAGUUCCUCGUAACCCUAGCAACAGAAGAGGGCCCAGCUUCCAAAUCCUCCUUCUUGGCCUUUCUCCCCUUCCCACCCUCCUUCUUCCAAUGCUUCCUCUUUCGCUUCUUCCCCACCUUCGAAACUUCCUCUUCUUCCACUUCUUCGUCGCCCUAAUCCUCAUCACAUCACCGUAUGUUAAAAUAAAAAAAUAAAAAAAAAAAGGAAGAAGAAGAAGAUAAAUUUUUGUCAUACAAAACAGUAGAUAAAUUUCUAAAGCCCACACAAAAUCGUUCCCUGCCUUCUCCAGGCCGAAAACAGCAAGAAACGAAAACGGAAAGGAUCAAAUCUUUCUCCAAGAAAGAAGGAGAAAAACUUAAGCAUUGCAAGAAAUCGCCCCUCAAGCUCGCCAGAACCGAAAAAGAUAAAGAACGCAAAGGAAAACAAAAAAAGAUCGAAUUUUGCGCCAAAAAACAAAGAAAAGACCGCAAAUUAACUUGAAGAAAUCGCUCUCUGACCUUCACGAGUCCGUCUUCCUCGUUCUCCUCAUCGCUUCCGAAAACGUCCACCACUAUCGGCUUCACCGGCUUCCUUUCCCUCAUCUGGAUAUCCCUUCCGGCGAACAUUCCACCAACGCUAGCCGCCGGCGGCCGGAACGUCCUAUCAUCACUCUUCUUCCUCCGCCGGCUGCUCCGCCCGCCCCCGCUCUCCCCAUCCCUCGACGAAACCCUAACCCUACUUUUAUUCACCUGCUGCUCGUGAUGAACCUCGCAGAGGGUGAUUCCUUCCUUCCUCCAGUUCUUGCACCGCCACGACUUGCCGUCGCUCCGCUUGCACCGCCGAUCCGUCGGCGGCGUCCCCGGCCGCUGCCCGCCGGCCAUCCUCUCCCCAGAAAACCCGGUUCUCUCGCCCCGAAACCUCCGGUUUUUGAAACCCACUCGUCCCGCCACAGAGAAAAAGACCGGUAGCAGUGAAAAGGGAAACGAAAAGACCAGUCUUUGCUUGAUGGCGUAAAGAAAGAAGCGGGGUAGAUGAUGAGAGUAUAUAUAUAUACAUCCAUAAAAGAGAGAAUGGAACAAUUAAGAGCUGGUGCAAAAUAGACUCUCUCGCUUCCUAGCUUGAAUCGCUGUCCGGGAAAUGCAAAUUUAAUGCAUGGGAAACGGGUUCGAGAAACGGCACGAGGCCAACGCGUGGCUGGGGCGGAGGAGAAGCGGGAUGGGGCGGGGGUAGCGGACGGCGCCCUCGGAUUUUUGGGAGGAGAGCCAAAACCAGCGGCGGGGCUGCCGGUUUCGGGGGAGCGCCCGCCCGUUGCGCGAUCGAUUGGGGUUUGGUGUUCCGGAGGUACGAGUUAUCGUCCCCUGUCGCGCGCGUGGGCGUAUGGCGCGGUUUGCGAAUUUUGGCCCGUGUGUCGGAUGAGUGCGUCCCGCUGGACCCAACCUGCGAGCUCUCGGAUUGGAAGGAAGCCAAUCUGGGCCAAGAAUACCAUCUUUAUACUCUCUUGCCGGAUUAUAAACUAUGGAAAUGGUUUGGAGCUGGAUGCUCGGGCGGGGAAAUGUACGGACUGACGUUCCACGUCUCCACCAACUUUCUCAUGCUUCAUCUUACCAUAAACUGUUUUCUCUAUUUUAAAAUCAGAAGCAGGAGUAGAUCUGAAGAAGAUUUUUUUUUUUUUCAAGAAAUAUACGAAGCAAGUAAUCGGAUGAAGUAAAUAUAGAAUAAAUUAAAAAAUUAUUCAUCCAAAUAUAAUUUAUUUAUUAAAUAAAUUAAAAAUUUAUAUUUAAAUCUAAUUUAUUUAUUAAAUAGAUAAUUCGUUCCGAUAUGUCUAAUCCAUUUAUCAAAUAGAUCAAAUUAGGUUAAAUAUAUUAGGCCCAUGAUUCAAUGGAUUAAAUAGAUUAUCUAACUUAAUUUAAUUUAAAUAUUAAAUAGAUUAGACGAAUUAAAUGAGUUAAAUAUCUAAAACUCAAAUUCGAUUCAAAUAUUAAACAGAUUAAAUGGAGUAAUCUAUUUAUAAUCUAAAUCUAUUUAUGAUAGAUCAUAUUUUAUUUUUUUUAAUUUUAAUCAUAUAUUAUAUAAAUAGGCUCACGUUAGACAGAUGUGGUAAGAAAAAUAUAGAUAGUUGCGCAUGAUUGUUGAAGAGAAGACGUAUGAAAAGAAAAUAGAAAGGGUAUUGGUGGUUGGAAGGUUUGAUACAUGGCAGAGACGCUAGCAAUUGUUUUACCGCGAAACUUGAUACGAGGAGUUAGUGAAACACCAUUGCUGUGUCGUAGGCGUGAGCAAAUUGUGUGAUUGGAUGUAUCCACCACAUCGCUAUCUUGGAAAUGGAGGCUCUCAUUCGUCAUGAGAACAGUGUUGCGUUUGAAUGCUAAAUACGUGAGGUAGCUGUCGAACAUUAGGUGCAAAAAUAUUAUGCGAAAGAGAGAGCUCUUCAAGAUAGAUAUAAGCAUGUACGGCUCUCAAUGGUGUAAAUGAUGCAUGGCAAAGGAUGCUGAAUCAUUUAGAAAAGAUUAUUGGACAUCAUUAAGAUACCAGCUCUGAAGUUUAAGAUGUGGGAGGAGGCCAAGCCCCCGAUUUAAGGUUCGUAAAUAGGUUAAUAACUAUAUGCAAGGAUAUAUUAGUUUGGAUCCCUCAAGUUCUAAUGUGAAAAAUAAUCAUAGAACCAUUUUAUUAAGAUUGCAACUUAAUUGAUAAAGUGGCAAAUUCUAACAGGCAUUUGAAGUAUUCUGAAAGAUCCCUAAAUAAUGUCUAUAAAAGCCAGGAAGGACAAAUUAGCAAAGAAUUAUUUAUCUUUUUUUGAUAAAUAAGAAUUGUGUAUCUUUCAAGAUUAUGAAAAGUCAGAUCAUUUAUCUUUUGGACAUCGUCACUUUUUAGAGUACCUAGUCCAAACCCUAAAUUUCUAAACGCUGAAGUUUUCAUUUGUUUUGAUUUACCCACAUUAGUGAAAGCUCUCGUUCCUUUGUUUCCAUUAGUUGGGUAUUCUUUUUCAAUUUUGAAAGGUCAAUUUAUUUUAAUAUAUAAUUUAUUAUAUUGUCAAUGUUUUCUCUCAACAUAGCUUACGCUCCUUUGUUUCUUUAAAAAAACAAAAUAAAAUCUCUCUUGAAAAUGAAGGUUCAGCUUGCUCCAAGCUAUUGCCGUUAUGCUUGGGCUACAACUAAUCGUGGAAGUCAAAUAUUGCCAAGAGGUUCUACCAGAAUAUCUAUCUUUUCUUUUCUUUCUAUAGAAUUUGCCAUGUUAUCAUAACUUUUUUCUUUUGAUAUAAAAAUCUAAAACCAUAAACAUACAAAACCUAUGAAGAUUAAAAUGCAUGAUAAAUUCCAUCCUUUCUUCCUUCUUUUAACACUCUAUUUCCAUUAAAAAUUGAUAAAAUUCUUUUAUAUCAAGGCAUCAAACUCAUGAAACCCAACCUAUCAACUUUUGCGUCGCAUGAUGGCACCAUUUAAUAGAUACCGAUCGACCCAUCAUACCAUGCAGCUGUAAUAUUCGACAUUGGACAAAACAGCAAUGAAAGCAAGUUAUCUAGACAUCUAAAUCUAGACAAAAUAGCAGAGAGCCCUCAGCUCAGAUUAUUUAUGCAAUCUUUUUCAAUUUUGAUACAAUCCAUAUAUUCCUAAAACAAAUAUUAACUUUCCGUGUUUAUAAAUUUUUAUCAUGCAUAAGAAUCCAUGUCUCACUUUCACCGCACUCUAAUUAAAUACAGCAAACAUCAUCUGCAAAUCAACCAAAACCUAAAUUAGUAAGAACUUUAGUUUUUAUCAUACAUCACGUUUCUAUCCUCUUGAUUCCCAAUGCCCUUCACUUCAUGUAGAACCACCUAGGCUAGUAUUACCACCUCACUUGCCACCUUUGUUGGCUCUUGCUCUUCUGGCUUCCGCUAGCCUCUAGCAUAUAAUAUCGUAUGAAAUGGAUGCCUCUUAGUACUUUCAGCAACUUCUAAUUAAUAGCUUAAUCGAACCCACUUUAGUUGUCUCCAUAUUGAACGUGCCCGUUUGCUUUAUUGGAAUUGUAAGCAAUUGCCCAGCAAUGACAUUACGAACUUCAUCCAAUAUUGAUAAAAUAAAAAUAAAAAUUGAGUUUUAAUUGAGAUCGGUAACAACAUCCAAUAUUACCCCUCUCCAUACAAAAAAAAUGACAAAAUAGGAACAUCGCCCCUAUUUCAAUCGGAGGCCUUUAGAGGCUCUCCUGUCUCCUUCCCUCCUCCUCUCUAUCUUUUUCUCUCUUUUCUUCUCCCUUUCCUCUUCUUGUCAGCCCUUCAUCGAGCGUAAUAGGCCUUCAGUAACCUUCAGAGGCUCUCUCUCUCCUUCCCUUUCCCCUCUCAUUUUUUUUCUUUCAUCCUUCCUUUAUCCUGCUGCAUCGAUUCAAAUCUGACAUAGAACGAUAUGGAGGCUUACUAAACCAUUUAAUUGGCUGAUCAGUUCGGACUUCGAUACUAGUACAACGAAUCUUAAUUAAAAAAAUAUGACUUAAAGCAUGCAUAAUAUAUCAGAGUUAACCUCACGCCAACCCAUAUAACUAAUUUCUUUAAAUUUAAAAGCACUCAUAGAUAUUGACUUGUCUCACAAUGCAUGCUAUAUAACCAUUGGCUCCCAGCUUAGGUUAUAAGUAAGCGCAAGCACAUCAUGAACAAUUACCCAAUGAUUUUGGAGGUAUUCUAGAGAAGGUAGAUGGAUUGAUGUAUCUCUUUUACCAAUAUUCAUUGCGGGACAUCUUCUUUCUGAUUUUUUGAAUUGUAUUCUUAUUUGUUGUGUAUACGAAUUCUUCCAAUUUAUCAAAAAAAAUACAUAUCUUUAGUGGUCGGAUGGCAUAAAUAGUUAUCGUCAGAAUUCUUCUUACAAGUUGCUUUCUGAAACAGUUCGCUCCCAGCAUUUAGAUGGCAAACAGGAGCAUCACUGAACAUGUCCCCAAAUCUCCCAAGCACAUCGCUUCCAGCAAUUGUAUCCACUUUCUCCUCUAUCCAACAAAGCAACUUUUCAGGGAAGUCAUGCGCUUCAGCUCCGCAAGGGGACUUACUGUUGGGAGAUACGGACCGACCUACGGACCGACCUACGGACCAACCGACCGACCGAUCGUCGGAUGCCAUUACUGACUGAGGGUAUGUCGGUCGGGCGGACCUUUUUUACUCUCCCGACCGACUGCACCAGGGAGUCCGAUGGCCGACUCUAGCAACAUGUCCGACUGACUGUCGGAGGGGCCUGGAUCUCCACCCGACGCCAUACAGCUGGCGACCGGUCUAGGAUCGGUCGACUCCUCCGAUCGCCGUACAGCUGCUAGAGACUGUCAGCCCUGACAGCAACAUGCGGCACUGCCACCUAAAGGCAUUAUCCCACCUAGGGCAUUGUCAACCCUAGUGAUUUGACAGCCCCACGGCGAUGUGACACUUUCACGGUGACUCUGACAGUCUACAGUGAGUUGACAAUUCCUCAAUUGUCCGUGCCAUUAAUGACGGCGCCAUACCAUGCUCCACCAUAUAUAUAUAUCGGGGAAGGCAACAGUGCAAGAGGCCCUUCGAAGCGACAGGCUUGCUCCCUCUCUCUUUCUCUCUCUCUCUCUCGAUUGAGCUCCCUGUCUUCAUUUCACUGUUGCCCAUUCACCUCUCUGACUUGACCGUCGGAGGGUCCCCGUCGGAGCCGCCUCCGGUCAGUGUGGACUUCCUUUUUUGCAGACGCUCGUUCCCGGCGACCAGACGACGAGGGGAUUGGCCGCAACACUUACCAUCAAUAUUUGCUUUCUAUUCUUGCAUAGGAAUCAGAUAAUCUGUUGAGAUAGCAAGCUGCCUGUCUAAAGAACUCUCUGUUAACUUUUUUCCUGACCUAUUGACCUUUCUUUGCCUGAUGAGGAGAUUCCGCAUGCACAUGAUCUUUACCUCUAUCUUGAUAUGGCAAAACUACCAUCCCAAAGACCACCAUGUAUGCAACCUUCUUUAAGAUCCCAGAAGUGAUUUAUUUAAUUUUGAUCUGCAUCUGGACCCAAACAUGCAUGCAGUCAUCCCGGUCACAUUCACAUGAAACAACACCACUUCCUCGGUAGCAACAGGAAGCUUCAUGUCCACCUCCGACUCCACCUCUCCUCGACCUACUUCUUCUGCCAACCUUUCGCUAAGCCGGCAUUCUCAUAGUAGUAGGUGUUCUUGGCUCGGAGGGUGAAACUGAACUCUGGGUCUGGCUCGAACUGCACGACGGAGAAGGUUGUGGACGUAAAACUUGGGUGGAGCGAAAUAGCAGUGCAGCACAACGAUAACGAUGGCGGCAGCGGGGAGGAUGCAUUGGGUACAGCGGUUGGUCUUCGAUGCAGCGACGUGAUGACAUCGACGGCGAUGGUUUCCGGUGGCGGAAAGGAGUGGGCCUCCACCGUCAUGGCGCCGCUUCUUGGAGGAUGAUAAGGGGGCUGUUGGCAAGCUUUUGGACAGAGAUUUUGGAUGGUUUAAGCAGCUCGCAAACGUACGAGAACGAAGCCAUGUCAAUCGUUACAUUUUUUUUUUUUAAUAAAACAAUUAUAAUUCCGUUCUGGAUGCUAAUAAUUAAAGGAAACCAGAAAAUGUAGAUACAUAUAACAAUAUGUUAUAAAUGUCGUGGUGGGAUUUAUUUCCUCACAUAUUUCUUAUAAAUGCCGUGGUGGGAUUUAUAACAAUUACAUUUUUUUUUUUGAUAAAACAAUUAUAAUACCGUUCUGGAUGCUAAUAAUUAAAGGAAACCAGAAAAUGUAGAUACAUAUAACAAUAUGUUAUAAAUGUCGUGGUGGGAUUUAUUUCCUCACUUAUUUCCGUCCAGAAUUUAGAUGAAUUCAAACACACGUAGUAUACAAGGCAAAUAUAAAAAAAAAGGAUUGAAUUAGAGGUCCUAUGAAUUGAUGGCAUUCCCCAAUCUUUUUGGUAAAUGAGCUUCCCUUUUUAAAUAUUUAACAACUAAAAUACUUGAAUUCGAAAUUCAACCGUCUGCUUAUCUUUUUGGUAUGUAUCACUGAAUAUGAAUGAAUUCAAGAAUGAACCUAUGCACUACUGUUUAAGGCUAUCUAAACGUAUCUACUCAAUGUCGUUAAAUUUAAGAAUUCACCACUCUUAAUUCAACAAAAAGCUCUGCUUCCACUCUACCUAAUUAAAUAAUCUAAAUCAUUAAAGACCAGAACAAGAAGAUCAGUGUUACAAGAUAGUUUAUCGAAAACUAGCAUUCGUGCUUUCCUUUCUGAUCGAACCAAACCAUCACGAGCUCGCUCUCCUCAAAACUCGCGAGUACGGUGGUGAACGACCUCUCCUUGCCUCCGCGCUUUCGCCAGAUUUUCGAAACUGGGAAGCUGUCAUUGUUUCAACAUGGCCGAGGUUCGGUUCUCAUUUCUCUUGUACUACCAGGUUUUUGGGAUUCAAUAAUCUCAGGUUCCCCCAAACAGAAGAUUUCUUCACUCCCAUUGUUUACUCAUAGGCGACCACGCACGAAAAAAUAUAUUCAUGGAUAGGUUAUAUACCGAUUACCGAUGUUGCAUUCUUUCACAUUUGGGUACAUAGAAUAUGAGCAACACAGAGAUCACACGCAAAUGCAGCGAUGAUUCAUUGUCAAGCAUUUAAAACAUGACCAUUUUGCAAAUCAAUUAAGAAACUACAUACGGGCAUUUAUAGCAUGAGAGUACCAGAUUUUCAUAUAGUUCACCAGGGCUCCUGUAAGCAGCCGUAAUGAGUAAUGUAAGAGGCUCUAAUCACCUUCCUUGACAAGGUUCAUGCUAGAAGGAUAUAGCGAAUAUAUGUCGCAUAUUCAAGACCCCAAAGGCAAAGUACUUUUUAGCGACAACAGAUUCAGAAGGAGACAAAACGUGUUGCUAUAAACUGUUUAACUGUUGCAGCAGAAGAAAAUUGCAUACUUCUCCUACGUUCAAGAAAAAAUAAUGGUCCUGGAUGAUGACAGAUUAAUCAGAAAAUAUUGAUAGUAACAGUACAGUGCUUCAAUCGUCAGUAGAAAUUGUCAUCAGAGAACAAGAAGUACCACCCCAGGUUGGGCACUGAAAGAGCAGUAGAUAGAGAAAUUAUUGCAUGCACUAGGUGCAAGUGAACAAAGGCAAAUCCCCAAGCAUAUGCACGGUGGAUAGCGUGCAAUCUGGAAUUGGUGAAAUACAAAGGGUAGCAUGGCGUGUUAUCCACCGUAGGAUUUGAUGCGGUCCAAUUGCACCUGGUGCAUGCAAUACGGAGGCCAGUAGAUACAAAGAUGGUACCAUUCUUCUCUUUACAGCCCAUCAGAACUACGAUAUGAGAAUGUUGUCAACAUGCCAUGAUGCUUGCCUGGAAUUGUACCUCUUAAGGGCACUUGCUCUGAAUAUAUGAAAUCCCAUGCUCUUCAUAACUGUCAAACCACUUAUAUACAAGAAUUACCUCCGUAUGAUAGGUAGACAAGCUUCUCUGAAAAUAUGAUGGUUCCAAAAACCAUUUGGUGCUUGCAAGUAAUAACAGAAUGGAAGGUGAUACUUUUCUUUUAAAACAAAAAGAACAAAAAUAAAAACUCACUCUGAUUUGGAGAACCACAUUUGCUGAAAUGACCGAAGAGAUGCCAGAAUACUUCCUCCUACCCAAACGCUGUAAUGAUUAUUCAUACACACACAUUAUAUGAUGCAAACCAUAAUAACAGUGACAAACAACUAUUGGAUAAAGACCAUCACGUUUCUGAUGAGAAUCGCUAAACAUAUCUCCUGGAUGAACUUGUAUAUAAAUUAUCGGAUAAAUGCAGAUGCAUGACCUCCACUUGCCCCAAAAAAAUUCAUACAUCCUGCAUGCCUUUUCACACACACACACACAAAAAAAAAAAAAAAAACAAAAUGUAACCACAAACCACCAUGAAGUGAAGCAAGGUACAUUUGGGAUAUUCCUCAUCUCAACUAUGAAGCAUCAGAUACUGAGCCUACGGUUGGUGUGCGUUGAUGAUUGCUAGCUCUGGAUAAUGACUCUGAGAAAGUACCUUCUCCAAGAGUCGCAAGAAGUAAAAUUUAGUGGAGCUUAUAAAAGGUGCCAAUGUACAGUGGUGAUUCAUCACGCAUGUGUUGCACACAAACAAGACUUACAAUUAUUUAGAUUUGUUGAGCAUAUCAAAUGUCAGAUGACAUGUGCAAGUCAAACUAGUUAAACAUAAAUGUACUAAGCCAUGCAAAGCAUUCACCAACUAUCUAAUAAAACCAUUAAGAAAUAAUAUCAGACUACCAGUUCUUCGAAACAAAGUAAGAAGCAGGAGGGUUAAUGUUGUAGAAAAAGAAAAACCAGACAUUGUUUAGGUUUUUUAGAAUUGAACAUAAAGGUCUAUUUUAAGAUUUAAAAUGAAACUGAAGAGCAGGUUCAAUUCCUUGAUUUCAAUAAACUAAUGUGCUGAACAAGCAGGUCUUCUGCGCUAGUGGAUGGUGAACUUAUAAACCAGGACAAUACAGCAUGCGGCUUAAAAUACCGGAAGAUCAACAUGAUGGUCAAUGCACAAGAUAAAUAAAGGGUUUACCUUAAGUCAUGGUAGCAAUAAGUAGUUGUGGGAACUAAAAAUCAUAGGAGCAUUCAAAAGAUAGAGCAUCAUGGAGGAUAAGUGUUUAGAGCAAGUGCAGCAACUAUGGUUGAUGUCCAGAGGGAUUCCCCUCUCAUUCUUUGAUAAGUAUCUCUGGUUGAGAAGAUAGCAUAUUUUCCCCUUAGCAAAAUUCAAUUAUAGAGGUUCUUACAAUGCUCUAAGGGACAUUAACUUUUUCACAAAGUGUCUUGCACAAAUAGGUUGCUAUUUGCUACAAACAAAUGGAGGAUAUUGACAUUAACCAUCACAUCACCAUAAAAAUUCACUCUCUGAAACCCCACAUCCAAUCCAAUGCAAACUUUUUUGGGAAAUCUAUAUUUCAUAGCAACAUUUGCUUCAAUUAUCAGUUAGGCAAACUCUCAAACUAUGACCUGUAUUAGAUCUGGGAAAGUUAUGCACCAAUAUAAGUCGAUGCAGCUUCAAAACUCUAUAAUGCCAUCUACAAUAUUAGAAGCUUAAUUGUGCUUGAGGAAUUUAUACAAGCUGUUCCAACUUCCGAGCCCAUCCAACUCCAAAAUAGAUAUAUAGAUACAUGAGAUACACGCAUAUAAAGAACAGAUAAGCUCGAAAAAAAUAGAAGUAAAAUAGGCUGCAGCAGUUGUUAACUGUAUAUGCGACACUUUCACAGAAAAUGCGACACAAGUAAAUAAAUCAAAUGAUAUAUGAACUCAUGGUUUUCAACAGUAAACAAUAAAAUAUGACCUGAAUCGUCUUUCUAUUGCAUUCCCACUUGCCAAUACCUUAAUGCAUGCAGCUUGAGGAGCCUCCUGAAGGACAUAAUGCAAUGAAAAUCAGAAUGGUAAAUCCAAAUUGAAAUAAAAAGUCACCACCGCACACUAGAAGAUCCAAUUGUUCAUGAAAUCAGUUCUUUUUUCCUCCACUACCUCUACAAAUAUUGACCUUUGAAAGCUUAGCACACAAUCAAGAAAAGAAAAUGGCAGAAUACACAACAUAUGCAAAUAAUAAAAGCCAAAGACAAUUUAAGGUUCAGUCAACUUGAGUUAACUCAUCACAGAAGUAAUAAAUGUUUUUCAGAUUUGAGGAUAAAGAGAAAAUAGAAUAUUGUUAAACAAAAUAAAGAAAAUAUAUCAGAUUUUAAAAAGUUUUGCUCAUAUUUUUGCUAAUAUUUUUGAAGGCCAAGACAGAGCAAUUCUAAAAGGUGACUACAAGUUAAUUCCUUUGACAAUUGCAUGUUUUGUUAGUAACAAGAACAUAAAAUUCAAGAGAUGUGAUCGCUGGUGAAAUUCUACCUCCAUCAACUCUUUCUCAAGCCUCCUGAGUUGUUAGCUAUCAAGCUUCAGAGAUGGCUGAGACGUGGUUGAAUUGCGCACAUCAUGACAAGUAUUUGAGCUACUUUGUCGCAGGCAGCAGUGGAAGACCUUUUGAAGAACAUAACCAUCAUGUACAGCAGCAACAGUUGUGGAUCCGCGCCCACUGCAUUAGAAAACUGUUUCUUAGAGCUAGUCUUGUAUUUAAGCAAUAAAGAAAAUUCCAAUAGCAAAGAUAGGCAUCCACAAAACAACCACACCAGCUCAAAAAUAUUAUUCGAAACAUAAGUAGCAUAUCGACAACAUGUACAAGUUGCCAACAAUAGAAAGCCAGAAAUGAUAACCAUGAAGUACAAUUUGGAUGUUUUUCAUAACCGUGUUUUAUUAAGAACUAGAAGAUAUGACAGUUAGGCAGCAAAAAAAAAAGUUUAAUUUUUCUUAAUAAUGGUUAUAAAUCCAGAAAAUAGCAUAAGAAUUUUAAGAGGAUAGGAUGCAUUGGCCAAAAUCAGUUCAUGUCACUUCUCAUCAAUUAAGACAAGGCUUCAGUUAUCCAUUGAGAUUUCGAAGAUCAAACAUUAUAUCCAACAAUUUCAAUAAACUGGAAAUAAGCUUCUAUAAUUUUGAUCAGAAUGCCACCACUGCUCUAAUGACCAAGUAGCAGCAGAUUACUUGAUUUGAUGCUUAUCCCACAGCAACAUCCAGGAAGGGUCAAGCAUAGAGAAUAUACUACUGUUCAUUGGUGAAUAUAUGCUAUGGAUGAGUCAGUGUCACAUGAUUCAACACCAACAUUUACCAAAAUAUGCAACCAAAUUAUUUACCAAGAAUGCUGCAUAAAACACUUAAGCUGCAGCCAAGACAUGGAUUUAGAAUGAAUGGUAUGUGUCUCAUUAUACAGCUGCUUUUACAUGGCAUAAUUUUUCAAUUACCUAUUAGGAGACCUUUGUAGAUAAGGAGAGCAAGCAUUUUAAAACAAGAAAAGCCAAAGUGAAAGUUUUAUAUAAUGAAAGAACAGAAACUUGUGAUAAGAAAUAAAAUUACAAGACUUGGGGAAAAUAAUAGCUGACUACAUUAAAUCUAAAAUUGCACUCAAGUGUCGAUGCAUGUGAAUAUGGCUCCUGACAUAGAAAAUGUUGAUGAAAGGAGAGCAUGAAAGAAUUUCAGCAAGCAUGGAGAUCAAACCUAUCAACAACCAGAGAUGUAGCUUGCCCAGAUGCAAAAGAUGUGAGAACUUGGGAGUCAAAGAUAGUAUAGUCCAACAACCAUUGUUAAUAUAGUCAAACAACCAUGGUCAUAUGCUAACCAGUAGGAGAAAACUUGAAGCCUACAAAAUGCUUUAAUAAACAUGUCAAGUGUCUAAAUGAAGAAUGGACUGAUAGCAUACAGCAUUUGUUGCUAAAAAUAAAGCUGGAACUUCGUAAUCCUCAAACAUGAGCUCUGCUGCCCUGUUAUACAUUAAAUGAAAAGGUUUCAGUCAUGCAUAUCCAGCACCUUGACAAAAAUACAGAAAUAACAAAUCUCAGUCCCAUGUGAAUUAUAGAUCAUAAGGAACCAGAUCACCUUUCUCUUUGUUGUGGAGUAUUACAAGAUGGCUCUGCAAGCAGCAUUGGAUGUUCUUUGGGAUCAAUUAAUAACUGCUCCCUGUGAAACACAAUGCAGUCAUCAUAAUCAUUUUUCACAUAGUUAUCUCAAACCAAAUUGCUUCUCUAGUCGGUGUGUUUGGGAAGAUCCUUCACAGAACUGACAUGGUGGUUAAUUAGUUGUGAUAUGAUCCAUGCUUAAGGCAUAAGCUCCAUUUCAGAUACUAUUGGGUGUAACAAUGAGUCUGAAACCAGCAAACACAUCUGAGCUAUCCACCAAUAAGUAAAUUGGAUGCUCGGUUCCUUUCCACUAAAUCUAAACAAUAAGAUCACAGGGGGGAAAGCUUUUCUUACUAAAACUGGGAGGAGGAAGGUGCAGGGGAUGGGGAUUAGGUCCUUUGCAUACUAAUAUACAUAAAGGUAAGCAAACUCAGUCAGCAGUACAUGCCUAAGCUAGUGUAUUGGACAUCAUGCUGGGGAGGGGGAUUAGGUUCUUUGCAUACUAAUAUGCAUAAAGGUAAACAAACUCAGUCAGCAGCAUGUGCCUACUAUAGUGUAUUGGACAUCAUGUAUCUGUGUAGGGUACUGAUAAGACUGGCCAACAGCAGUUACAAAUUCCAGAUAACAGCAGUUACAAAUUGCAAACAGCAAACAUCACUACUUGCAACCAUUUGACCAAGAGAGUAAAUAAAUCUAAUAUAUCAGAUAAUAGGUUUCAAAGAUAAUAAUUAUAAAGCAUGGAUUACAAUAUAACGACAACAAUAAGAGGCCACUAAACCAUAUAGAUGUGCAAAAUUCUCCACCCUUUUGACUUACUGUAAAACAUUCAGCAGCUUACCUUGAUGCGUGCACAGCAGAAUGAAUAAAGUGAGACAAAAUCUGCAUGGUAAUAAUGCUGAUAGGUGGCGCCAUGAAUGAUAAAGAUAUUGUUGUAUAUAAAAGAUGGCAUAUAGCAAUAUGCAUUUAAAUGCUAAAAUGCAGCCGCUUGCAGUGGCUGUUCUUCACAACAUGGAACGAUCGGGUAUUUAACACCAAGGUAAGGACACAAUCAUCCAUGAAGGACAUCUAUCACACUUUGUUAUUGUACAAUACCCUAAUGAAAAUUAUUCCAGUGCAUUGUAUGAUGCACCAAACUUAUAAAAAGUGUGGGCUAAUGUAAAAAGUUAUGGAUUGCAAGCUCAUAACAUCUGUUUCUGAUGUAAGAUGAAGCACAGAAAAUGAAAGACAAAAGAGAGAAAAAAAAAAUAGCUCUCAUCUUUGACAUCAUAGACGCUAGCUAGACCAGCACGAGACACAGCUCAUACCUAAAAGCAUGAUUCCAUAUAUUGUCAACAAUAUCCCAAUCAACAACAACUCCAUCUUUUAUAGGUGAUUCCACCUAAUCAAUGUUAAUAAACAUUACUGUCAUAGGAAAACUAACAAAAUUUUGCAAAUAAAUCAAAUUUCAUCAAUCUUUGGAAGGUACAGAAGUGCAAGCAUAAGCCUCUUAGCUGGCUGACCUCCAUACGGUCACAUCUAUAUCCCAAGGCUUGAGAACCAACAUACAACUUCCGUUUUGCCUUGGGUUUAUCUGAAUCAGGUGGCUCGACACCAUUUUUUGAAUCUGAUGUAGGUUCAGAAUCCUUCUCAGACUUGACACCAUUGUUAUCUUCUACUUGAUCAAUUGAGCCAACUACCUAACAGUGCAGAGCAUUUAUCAAAACAAAGCAUGGGCCAGAUUUCCAAACAUCAAAUCAGACACAAUUAUAUUAUCAUAUUCUUUGUCAUAAGUAAAAAUAUUUAUUUAUCCAGAUUGAAUUGUUAUCCUAAAAAAAAUAUUUUUUAAAAAAUGUAAAACAGGUUAAUAUCGUUGUACUGCAGAAAUUAUGUUUCUUUCUUCUUCUUCUUCUUCUUGAGGAAAACCAAAUAAUUCAUCAUCAUUGAUGCCAAAAAUACAUUAAUCCAAGUAAGGUAGCAAAGCAAUGAAGAUCAGGAAAAUAAUAUUGAGUUGCCAAAGUAUAACUUGUGAAUGUGAAUUGAAUGUAAUCUGAAGGAUAUAAUGAUGCAUAACAAUUAUCUCUUUUGCAUCAAAUGGAUAGUCCCAAGGAAUAGUAAUCUUAAUCAAUAUUAGUUUUGUAGACCUUUUCAAAACAACUAACCUUGCAUGAGAUUUAUCUCUAGACACCACAGUUUCCAGAGUACAUUAAUAAUUAAUUUUGAAGACCCAAAGGAAGAGAUAAAUAGGAACUUGAACUUCACCGUUUUCUCAACUGACACAUCACCAAACUAUGCCAACGAACAAAAAAUGAUCGCAAGUGGCCUUCCAAAGAGCAAAAAGUAUAAAACGUGACAACAUUGUACCAGAAUUUAAAAUUGCGGCAAAAAUAUACACAAUGUAUCGCACUUCAAGAAAUACUUCCUGAGGGAAACACUGCCCUGGGAACAUCUUCGCCGGCAUAACCAGCUUUGCAAGUGUGAGAACCCAAAUCGAUAACUACGGCCGAGACUUCAUCUGAGCAUGUACAUCAGACAAAAUCACUACCAACUGGUUGCCAUCUUUCUAGGGUUAGCCAAGAGAUAAACGGAAAAGAAGCUGGUGAGAGAUCGAAGUAGCUGAAAUAGAACUCACCGCCACCGUCCAUGAUGACGAACUCGAGGGAGAUCUCGGAACGUAAAACCAGCUCAGAGAAGGGUUCGCCGUGGGUGGUGGAGAAAGCGGGGCUCGAAUAGACCGUGGAUGCGGGGGAGGGUCGAGGGGGAGGAAGGAGAGACUCGCCAGAGAACGGGGAUGGGUUUGAUGUCGAGGACGGGAGGGAACCGGGAACAAGGCUUCAGAAGCGUUUGUACGUAUUUUCUCGUAAACACAAAAAGAGGGUUUACACACGCUUGGGCGAACUUUCGAGUCGUAGCCCACCAAGCGGAGGAAGUCAAGGGUGACAAAAUAUCAUCUCAUCCGCCAAUUUGAUUCGUGAUCCAUCAAUCAUAAAUAAAUUUAAAUUUAAACUAAAUAAAAUUUGAUCAAUAAUCCAUUCAAUUUAUUUAAUAAAUAAAUUAAAUUUAAAUUUUAAAUAAUUAUUUAAUUUAUUUAAUUUAUUUAAUUUUUGAAUCAAAUUAGUUGGUAUAUUAUCGAUAGGACCGUCUAAAUAGAUCGGAUGAUGGGCUAAUGGGAACCUUAAAAAAAAAAAAAAAAGCAUGAUUUUUUUUUUGUUGCUUUGAUCCCACGAUCAAAUCCAAUGGUAGAAGACACUCCACGCUACUUGUUGUAUUUCAUCGAUUUCCUACUAUUAUUCAAAAUUUCAAACCCCACUAGGGCUCUUCCCCUCCCUUUCUUCUUUUGCACCGCUGCUAUUUCGAAGACAAUGUCAAUUGAUGGCCGAUGGUUGCUAAUCGUGACAUAGAUGAUCGGAUGGAGAUUGAGGGAGGUGUGGGAGCGUUGAUAUGUAAGCUCGAGAUGAUCGAGCGCAGGGAGGUGGAGACGUCCGACAAGUGAGACAACGACGACAUGGGCAAAAGCACUGAUGCCACCAGUGAGUCACCAGAUCUUUUGACUGAAUCCAUGGUAAGAAACGUUGUCGGUGAAUUUUCUAGAUGGAAAAGGAGCACAGAAAACUACGACAACUGUGAUCACCAUAUCUCCUUCGACCGGAGCCACGGUGAGGAGCACUGUCAGAAGAUUUUCUAUACAUAAGAGGAGAGGAGAUGCAGAUAAGUAUGGUCGAAUGAAGUAGAUGAGGCCUGUGAGGGUGAAGAUGUGGAGGGACGGUCGGGUGGAGUAGCAGUUUUUCUUUUCUUUUUUUAUGGUUAGAUAGAGUAGGUUUUUUUUCUUUAUUUUUUUUUUAAACAGAUUGUAAACAAGUCGGAUCGUAUAAUCUUUUUAUUAAAUAGGUCGAGUUCGGAUUUUAAAAUCUGACAUGUUUAAUAAAUAAAUCGGAUCUCCGUUCAGAGUUUUUUAAUUCAAUCCGUAUAUGAUCCGAUUUGUUUAUAUUCGAUCUGAUCUGAUUGCCACCUCUAGAAAAAAUAUUGUGUGAACCGAUGAAACCCUGGGAGCAUAUGCACGGUGGAUCACGCGCAAUCGAGAAUUGGGGAAAUUCAACGGGUAAUGUGGCGUGUUAUGCACCAUGGGAUUCAGCGCGGUCCACUAGAUCAGAUCCAAGUAAUAUCCACAUUUAUUAAACUUCUAUUUUUUGUUCACGGUAAAUUAUUUUCUGCGUAUUAUAUAACGUGGAUGAGAGAGAUUAUGUAAAUAGAGACAUGGUCGGGCCCUUGACGAAGAGGACCAGGAUUUCUGUAAUAAAAUAUAACAAAAUUAUAUAGCGUUAUCCAAGCAUCAUCCACUUGUUGAGAGCCAAACACCAUGGGCCAAAGGUGCGUUUGGAUAACUGCAACUAGUUUAAAUGAAUGACCCAUUUCUGGUAUUACUGCUAUAACUUCACCAAAAUUAUGUUAGGCAAACAACAUUUGGAGUCUAUUUUGAUACAACUAAAAGACUUUUAAAGAUAUCUUUGUGAUGACUUUAAGUCCACCAAUUGAUAAAGAUAUAAUUAAUAUUAUUUUAAUAGUACAAUAAAUUGUAUUUAUAAUCACUUGGACAAAUAAAUAUGAAAUUUUAUUUUAUUGCAGCUCUAAAUCUGCAGCACUAAAAACCGAAAAUGUAAUUGCAAAAAGAAUGACCACGGCCACCACAACUUCAAAUGCAUGCAUCUUUCACUAGCUCGUUGUUGUCACGUCUCUUUUGUAUUAUUUUAAUGAGACUGCAAUCUAAACUAACUGGCACUGUCCCAUGGCUUUGCUUGUCAUUAUUAUUCAUAAACCUAAGUUAUGGCUAUGAUUGGUUUCAUCCAAUUAAAAACAAUCAUAGUAAACCAUUAUCCAGCAUAUUAAUCAUUGUUGCCCCUGUGCUAUAGCUAUAAAGCAAAUUAAUCCAUGUAUUUUCAUUAUAUUUCAAUCUAUUCAACAUGAUCGAGUGGUCAAAUAAAUGUAGCUAGAUAUUACAAGAUGUCUCGAUUAGAUUAACAAAUUAGUCAAUUUAUCAAACUACCUUAACUAAGUCAGGAAGUUUCUCAAGGCCACCGCUGUUAUCCCUAUAAUUUGCGAUAAUUGGCUUAUCAGAAUAUAUCUUGAAAAAUUAAAGAAUUCAAAAAAAUUAUUUUUUAUAUAGUAAGAAUACUAAUAUAUUAUUAAAAAAAUCCAAAUAAAUUUAACUUAUUUUUUAUAAUUAAUAAAUAUUUAUUUUUAAAAAUUUUAUAGAUAGCAAUUAUACCAACCUAUCAAUCCAAUUCAUGACUGAUCCACUUUAAAUAGGUUAAAAUCUGACGUAAAUAGAUUUAGAUUAUAAACGGCCAAUACAUCUAUUUGUUAAAUACAACAGAUUCUGAUUUAGGUAUUUUAAUCAUUAAAUUUGUUUCAUAUAUAAUAAUUGGGUUGGAUCAUGAUUUAACUCAUUUAACCAUUCCCAUCCGUACAUGUGGGGCUCCAAACUAUCUCGAGGUUGCAUCAAUUGUUUCUUGUCAUCUGUCGUCAAAAAGUUUCUGUGGUGCGUAAAAAGGUUUUCUAGUCUCUCAGCACUAUUUUUCAAUAAAAAAUAAAAAUAAAAACAUAAGCUCCUCAGGAUCAGGGUUUAUUUUCUAAAACUCGAUCUAUUUUAAAUAACAUUGAUCAAAAGAAUCUCUGCCAUCCAUCAAACCAUCUCCUGUCGAGUCUCGCCAAUAAACCCACGUGGCAUCAAAGACCAUUACGUGCGCCAUCGCCUUUGGCGGAAUAGCAAACAAAAACCCCAUCCUGCUGCCCGUUCGGGUUUUCUUGCGCAAGGGUUCUCUUCUCCUCUCGCAGGUAGCCCGGUCUCCUCCCCUCGGCAGCAGUUCUUUCUCGUCGAUCGCUCCACUCACAGAGUCGAUCAUUGAGCGAUGGGAGACUCUCAAUACUCCUUCUCGCUAACCACCUUCAGGUACUCACCGUUCCUUCCACUUCCUUCCUACCUUCUCCCAAACCCUCGAAUCCCCAGAUCCUAACUCCUGUUUCUUGAUUCAGCCCUUCGGGGAAGCUGGUGCAGAUCGAGCACGCUCUGACGGCCGUCGGAUCCGGCCAAACAUCUCUUGGAAUCAAGGGUAAUCUUUUCCUCUUUGGAUGAAUUCACCCCCUUUCUUUUGAUCACACCAGCUGGGGUAGAUCGGUGUUUGCGCUGCUGUUCUUCUUGAACAAACGAUUUUUAUGGACUAUUGGAUAUAAAAUAGCCUUGGCCAACGAUUUUUUUUGGCCUAUGAUAGUUUAGUCUCCAAGCAUUGGGUUAAAGUGAAUGUGAGUUGUUUGGUUUUGGCCGUCUAGGUUUGGUAAGUUUUGCACCCAAGCAAACUGUCAAGAAAGAGCCUUAGUUUGCGUUACAUGGAGCGUGCCAACUACUGGACUAGGGUUCUUUCUGACUUGAUUUUUUCUAUUCUGGGCAUAAGGAAAAUCUCUCUCUCUCUCNNNNNNNNNNNNNNNNNNNNCGAUAAGGAAAAGUACUACUCUCUCUCUCUCUCUCUCUCUCUCUCUCUCUCACACACACACACACACACACACACACACACAGAAUGCUGACCUGAAUUUUCAUAGCUAAGAAUUAUCGCAAUUUUGGCUUGCUCAGAUAUUUCAAAUUUUGACGAGGAUUUAUCUUAUUCUCGUUUAUUUUAUUGCUAUCUAGAUUGUAGCCUCCUAAUUUCUUCUUUGCAGACUUUUCUUCUUGGGGAUAUAUGCCAUAACAGAACAUGUAAAUUUUGAUAGCAGAUAUCGUCACUUAUCCACAUUUGUUUCUUGUUUUCCUAAAUCAAUCUUUAAAAAAAAAAAAAUCUGUUUCUUUAAUUACCAGAUAAGUUCAUAACCCUUUAUAUAGACCCAAUAAACCUGACGCUUGUCCAGAACCAAACAACAUCUGAGAUAGUUUGACAGUUAGACUGAAGGGUCAUGUUAUUUCCUCUUGAUUGUUUUCUGAACACGCCAUGUCAUGCCAUUGACAUUAAUUAUUCUUCUUAUGUCGUUGUUUGAGGGGCUUAGGUAUUGGCGCAGGAAUACUAUCAAUUGUUCUAGUUGGACGUUUCCUUCCCAAAAAUGGGUGAACAGUUCUGAGUUUUUGAUGUGAAGGAAUUUUGAGUUUCAUUAGUUCACAAGAAGCAGGUUUAGAUUCUUUAGUUAUACUUGAUGGAAGUGAUGUUGCUUAUAUAAUUAGAUGUUAAAUUGAUUGAGGUGAUGCAGUGUUGGAAUCCUAGUGACUGGUCAAAACUAAAAGUUAACUAGUUGUUAAGCAUGAUUUAUGCAAUUCCUCAUAUUUUCCUCACAUGUCUGUUAUCUUAGAUUUUCUUAUACACAAAAUCUAAAGUUAUCAUAUUUGUAUUGGUGGUGAUUGCAGCUGCCAAUGGAGUUGUUAUUGCAACUGAGAAGAAAUUGCCUUCCAUCUUGGUGGAUGAGACAUCUGUAAGCACACAUCACUUCCACCUCUGGAAAUACUUUUGUUGUCCUCAUGUGAUUGUAGCAAAGUUCACUUCAUUUGAUAUUUUCUCCAUCCCAAGCUGUUUUACCCUAGAUGGUUUUAACCUUUCUUUAUUGGGAAGACAGUAAUUUUCAUGUUUCAACAUGUUUAACUUUUUUAUGCAUCCUUUUGGUUUGUAUAUUUGCUAACUUGCUUUCUAGUGAAAGUAAAAAGUAAAAACUGAAAAGCAAUGGAUUCACUUUGGUUGAUUGUUUGUUGCGUGGUGGACUUGCAUCAUGAUUUUAAAUUUUGGACCUCAUCAUGAAGAGUCAUUUUAUGACUGCCUGCAAACUUAAGUUCCUAUAACUGGGGAACCACCUUCAGACUCAUGCAUGACUUAUUAAUGAGCCUUAGGGCAUUUGAGUAGGCCAGCCCGAAGAUGUGCAGGUCUCCCUGGAGCAUCUCUUAGAGGUCUGUGUUAGUGAGACUAAGAUACCUCGGUAUCCUUAGUCUUUUGCCAUUGCUUUCUGUUUUAUGCCACCUUGCUCUCCAAUGACACCCUUAUUUUCUUAACACCCUCUUCUAUGACAUCUAUAAGGGUCAAAUGCUCACCAGCUGGUGAAGGUAAUGCUUGCUGGCUGUACUUUUGGCCAAGCUCAAGAGCUGUUUGGGCAGUUUGAAAGUUUAAGGACUCUAAUUAGUCUGAGAAUGUUUAGUUUCCCAUUGAAAUGGUUGGUUGGCUCUAGGACCUUUGGUUUUGGGGGCAUGCAAGUCAACACAUGCUUUUCUGUAGAUGCAAGAGGUACAUGAUUUGGAUGCUUCUCUACGUUCAAUUUCGUUUCUAAAAUUUUCUUGUCUAAGUGAUAAUGACUGGAAGUAGUAAUACAGAUAUCAACAUAUUUUUUCCUUUGAGUCUGUCAAGUAAUGCUUGACGAAUUAAUAUGGGUAGUCUAGUUAUAUGGGAUCUACUAUGUUUGGUUGAAGCCUUGUUUUUACACUUCCUUUCAGAAUUAAAUAUUUUGUUGACUAAUGAAGGAUGUGCUUCGAAGCUUUUUGUUUUUGUUGAGACAAGUCUCCUCACAUCUGCUUAAAUUGGUAUAUUUUUUUAUUAGCUUCUGAUUACAACAUCUGGCGAUUUUCCUUCUUUUUAUUUUCUUUCUAUCAUUCACGUUUCCUUGCAGAGUUGCAGUUAAACCUUCAGCUUUAUCAAUAAGCUCUUUAUGUUUGCUUUUUCUUUGGAACAUGGAAGCUUGAUUUAAACUUGUUUGACUGUAGGUGCAAAAGAUUCAGCUGAUGACAACGAACAUUGGUGUUGUUUACAGGUAUUAUGUGCCACUUAUGAUGUUCAUUCCUUUGUUUAUUUAAGUUGCUUAUCUUUUGUUUAGGAUAUUAAAUAUUAUGUAACGUCCAAACUGAUUCUGAACUUUGAUUCUAUACAUGAUGUUAUCAUGGAAUUUCUUGUAUGAUAACUGUUUAUAGACUCCUUUAGCAUGCUUCCAGAUAUAUAGUCAUCAUGUCCCAUGGUGAUAGUUGUAGUAAUUGUUAAUUUUAUAAAUAAUAAAAGCCGUUGAAUCAAUAAAUGUUUUUGAAAAAGGUGCAUGUCAGAAACUUUGUUAGUGGUUUUUCCUUCUAAAUUGCGCAUCAGUGACAUUACACGAGCCUAGUAAAGCGAAUGCAAACUAGUCCAUUGGUGCGAUGCCGUGAUGAAAUUCACAUGAUUUGUUAAUUUGACACCUGCAGAAUGCUGACAUCUCUUCCCUUGAGAUUUGAAACGGGGGAUUCCUUGAUCACCUUUAUAUAUGCUAUUGCUCAUAACAUUCUAUUGCUAAGUAUUUGUGAGCUUUUUUUCAGAAUCACCUUGUCUAUUAGAUGCCAUCAUUAAUUUUAUUUUCUUCUCUCAAUUGUUUGUCUAUUUCUAUGCAGUGGAAUGGGCCCAGAUUCCCGUGUUCUUGUGAGAAAAAGCAGAAAGCAAGCACAACAGUAUUACCGACUCUAUAAGGUCUGGUCAGCUAAAAGUUAUUCUAUUUACGUAGCACCAAGAUUUGUCCAACUACUUCCAUUAUGGUUUUUCCUCCCUCCGAUUCAUGAACAUUCUGCAUUUUAUUUAUUUAUUUAUUUAUUUGCACUACACAUAGUAGUAGCAUAUUUAUCACUAAACCCCUCAAAAGCAUAUUUUAUAUGCUGCUUACCAGAAAACAAAAAAAAGCGUAUAUUAUAUGUUUUAUACUACUCAUUUGAGAAAUAGUUUCCCUGAACACAGACGUUGUUUCAAUUUACACUUCGGCAAACAAAUAGAUUGAAAGGCAAUCAGUCAACGGAGACUCGUGCUUCAUUUUGCUUGCUGUCUGAUGGGAAAAAAAUUACUAUUUUUUAAUGGAUGCAUGACAGGGAGGACCUGUCUGUACGAAGCUUCUUUGUUAUUUAUUGUCCUUUCCGGACUUUUGUUGAAUGCCAAUAAUUCUGCAUUUGUCCUUGCUUUAUAUUGUUAUUUCAUGCUUUCUGAUAGUUGCUGUGAAUUCAUGAUCUCAGGAGCCUAUACCAGUUACCCAACUUGUUAGGGAAACUGCAGCUGUUAUGCAGGAGUUCACUCAAUCUGGGUAUGUUAUUUUUUGAGUUGCUUAGCCAAAGGAUACAUAUCAGAAUUUCCAAUUCUUAGCAAAUGAUAACAAGCCUAUUUGUUUGUCAAAGAUGAUUUUUUUCCAUAGAUGUAUAUUUGCAACUAAAUUAUGGACCUUAUCUCCUCCUUUGUUGACAAUGACAUAUGAAUCAACUAUUAACCCAAUAUUUCACAUUUUAAAGCUGCACCGGAACUGGCUAUUGGCCUUUCCUUUAUCACCUUAAUUUUUAAUUAUAGUCUAUACCUAUCAGUCCUCUGUGGCAAAGUCUUUUUUUUGUUUUGUUUUGUUUUGGUUGGGGGGGGGGGGUCAUAUUACCUCUAUCAAAAACACUAUGAGAUUCACUGUAUGUGGUAAUUGAAUGAUUCCUCUUUAUUCUGAUUCACCAAUGUCGUAUGUCAAAUCUUCUACCAGGUCAAUUAAACUUGUUGACUUGUUCUUUGAAAAUGCAUGAAACUUCAGUUAAUUUUUGCUUUUAGAUGUUGACUUAUUCGUUGCAAAUGCGUGAAAGCAAAGUUGAACUUUAGUUAACUUUUUGUUUUAGAUGUAGUUUCCUUUUUCCAUCUUGAUUAGAUUCCCUCCAAGACUUUGGUAACCUUCUUCAGCUUCCUCAUAAUUCUGAAGCUUAUUUUGCAUGUUAGUAUCCAUACUUGUUGACUGCCUUCUAUGUGUCAUGGCUGGUCCCUCUUUUAUUUAUAAUUUGCCAUAACCGGUGUUGCAUGAACAUGGGCACGAGAAUCGGAUUUGAGCGCAUGUCCAGAUGUUGUACUUGGCAAGAGGAGAAAAAAGAGAUACAAUGAUAUGUAGAAAAGUAAUUUUAACUAGCAUAUAUAUACAUAAAAUUAUGUACAUACAUAUGUGUACAUACAGACGCACAUGCAUACAUACAUAUAUAGAGUAUCAUGUAAAAGAAAUAUCAAAAAACAUUAGUUGUUAAAAAUUCCAAUCAGCUUAAGGAUCUUAGACCAGUUACAGUUUACAAAAUUAUUUUAACAACUGCAUCCUUAACCAAUCUUUGAAAUGCUCAUUUUGAACAUCAUUAUAGCGGAUUGAACUGAUUGUUGGAGGAAUUAACUCCACCAAUUUUCACAAACUGUAAUUAGUAAAUAUUAACAAGUAUCCAAGUAUUUGACACAUAUCCAACUUGGGUAUGUAUCUGGCAUGGAUUCUAGGAGCUGGAUGUUGGUGUCCAGGUAACACAGGAUAUAAUCAGGAUUCUAUAAAUGGCUGCUGUCAGGUUGAGAGCCAAUGGUCUAUGCUCUCAAACUCGGAUAAAUCACAGAAAAUUCAUAUAGCCAAUGCCACCUGUAUGGAUAGGUAUUACAUGUAUGUAACAAAAACCAAGCUUUCCUUGCCAUAAGUUCCAAAUGGGCAUGUUUAAGUCUCACACUCCAACUUUAGGUGCACAAUCAGAUAUGCCAGCUUGAAACUCUGAUUGUCUGGUUAUUGCAAAGAAGGCCAUAUGAUAAUUCUUAUAAUUCAUGCUUUCUUUUCUUUUCCCUUUCUUUAACCCCUGCAGUGGUGUAAGGCCAUUUGGAGUUUCGUUGCUUGUUGCUGGAUAUGAUGACAAUGGUCCACAGCUGUAUCAGGUAUUUUGGCAUUUUACCCUUCCUUUUUUUUAACUUGUUUCACCAUCAGUAGGGGGUUCUGAGAUUAGUGCAUGAUAUUUCUAAUAAUUUCUUUCAGGUGCAUUGCCUGUUGUUAGGAUCCAUCAAUGUAACAUAUUUUUUUUCCUAUAGUAAUAUGUAUGUACAUCUUAAAUUGACGAUUUGUCGCAUGAAUUGAUCUUAAUCUGCAUCUGGUUCUUUUUUAAUAGGUACAUGCAAGUCAUGUAGCUUCUCGCAUUCAUUUGUUUUUUCUCACCUUUUUAUGUGUACUGUUAUUAACAUGAUGUGACAAUUCAAAUCUUAUUUUUUCUUAUUUCUUUGAACCUUGUUUUCUAGGUUGACCCAUCAGGUUCUUACUUUGCUUGGAAAGCAUCUGCGAUGGGGAAAAACGUUUCCAAUGCAAAGACAUUUCUUGAAAAGAGGUACCUAGUGCUGGCUGAUUCAUCCAUAAUCCCCUUUAGAGCUAUAGACAACCUCCAUCACCACUUUCUUAGAAAACCUUAAUUCAUCUCUGAAAUUCUUUGUUUGUUGUCAUGCUUUCUCCUUGCUUGAGGAAUACCUGGCCGUUGCAAGCAUCUGCUUUUAUUCCUUGAUCACAAGUUGAAACCUUUCUUCUUAUUAUAGGUAUACUGAUGAUAUGGAGCUUGAUGAUGCUGUCCAUACUGCCAUUUUGACUCUUAAAGAAGGGUAUUUUCAUAUGCUUCAUUGGAAACAUUUUUCAUUCAUUAAAUACCUUGUUCUUCUGUGAUGCUAAUGAAUUAUAUUGCAAAAUGUGUAGGUUUGAAGGUCAAAUUUCAGGAAAGAACAUUGAAAUUGGAAUUAUUGGUGCUGACCGUAAAUUCAGGUAUGCUUAUUCAACUUCUGUUUGACAAAUGGUUGUUCAAGUGUUUCAAUGUUUUAAGUGAUGUUAUCGGUUUAUCAUGUCUAAUGCAUAGAAUUGCAGUGUUCGUAUUGUUUAACCAAGUAAAAUGUGUUCAUCUUAUUUUUGUGCAUCUUUUGGUAUGGAUGUACUGGUUAGGCUACAUCAAUCUAAUUUAGUGCCAGUAGAGUUACAGAAAAGUUAGGCGGUGCCAUGAGGCGCUUGCUUGUAUGAUAUUACCUCUUGCCCGUUGGAUAAGAGGAUGGGGGUUUGAUACUAAUUCAUGUCGAGUGCUCGCUUCUGCCCUGUGGGAUGGGGUUCGUUUAAAAAGUGGGGAUUUAGCUCCUCCAGGUCUCUAAAAAGAAGAAGAAGAAGAAAAUGGAGAAGUUUUGGCAUUUAUGAUGCCUAUUAGAAAUGCCUCCAUACCCUCUUUUACUGUCAGAAUUUACGUGUAAAAGUACUGUUAUAAACAUAGCACUUGUGCAUUUGAAGUUCAUCAAGCCUUGGCCAAAGCUAUGUUUGGAUGCUGGAAGAGCAAGGAAAAGCUAUAAAUUGGGUGGAGUGUGCCCAGAUCGGCUGAUUCUCACUCAGUUGCUUUUUCGGUUCAUCAGUUAGUGACAAACAUAGCAUAAAUAAAUUUUGUAAGAGAAAUGCAUCUUGACGGUAAUAUUAUGCAUAGCUACUAAUCAACAAAAGUUGUGAUUGAUGUAUGGGGAGGCAGUAAGCAUCUGGACCAAAGGGUGGUCAUACCUUGCUGCAUGCAAAAAGGAAUGAACGUGCUGCAGGGUGGUAGUGUUUCUAUGUUCUUAUAAUUGAUGUCUUACUCAUUAUAUUUCAUUUUAUGCUGCAGAGUACUUACUCCAGCUGAGAUUGAUGAUUACCUGGCGGAAGUGGAGUGAUUUUGUCAAAUCCUGUAUCCAGCUGAGGAUAUUGAAUUGUUUUGAUGUGUACAAUUUUUUUAAACAUUCAAGUUUGUGACUUCGGGUUUCAUCCAUUGCGCUCCAAAUUUCUCUAAGUUGUAAUGGUUUCGUUACUUGAUACUGCACAACUGAAGUUAUAACCUGCAGAAGGACUUGCCUAAAAUAUCUUACCAUGCUGGGUAUGUGUUCGAUUGAAGAAGGGUUAUCGGUAUCAUAAGUUUUAUAUCUGUUGUGCCAUAUGACAAGUGGGGCAUAUGUGAAAGGACGUGCAAAGCAUGUCAUACUCUCAGACAAGGUCGUCUAGUGAGGGUUAGAUAUGCGCAGCUUUAUUCUACGCGAAAAGAAUGUUUUCAUGCUUCAAAUCUAUGACCCCCAGGAUAUAACGGAGUAAUCUUAUAAUCAAGGUUUAUUCUUGAAGUAUGUGACAUUCUAGUCUUCUAUAAUCCCUUGUUGUGUUGGGGAUUUAUUUUAACGUCUUGAUGACAGGUGUAAUGGGAUGCUGAUAUGUGAGAGGAGUGUUUUUUUUAAUUAUUUUAGUAUCAGGAAGGAAGCUAAGUUGGCCUCUCAUCUCAAAUUUAUAAAAUACAGGGUAGAAAUGGGUUAUACCAGAGAAGCAGAAAUUGGGAAGAGUUAAUAGGAGGCAGAUGCUAUUCGUUGCAAAAAGAAUAAUUCCAUCAACCUUUGAUGGAGGUUGGUGGUGGGGCAUCUUCUUCCAGGUGGAUAGGCGGUCCUGGAAUGAUCCAAAGAAAGUCUGAGCAAGACAGCAUGGUAGUUGGAGGAGCAGGACCCACAGCAUGGUACUUGGAGGAGCAGGACCCACGGAAAAGACGGAAAAUAUCAUAUAGCAUCAGGGCUAGUUUCAGUUCGGGGUGGGCUAUUGGCUUUCUUAGCAUUCCGGUCCCUACAAAAUGGAGGCAAAAAGUGUUAUAUAGAAAAUUUGCAUUGUGUUUGCAUUUGAUCUGAUAUCUAGCAUAUAUUGAUUAUAAGCGCACUACAUGUGAAUCAUGAGGAGUGGAUUUUGAUUAACAUGCAAUCUGAAUCUGAAACCCAACAAAGUUAUUCCAGGUUCGGUGUUCCUAUAAAUUUAAUUAGGUCCUCUCCAUUGUAGCCAUGGUCGCACCUGUUCUGGCUAUUUGGUUUGACAAAAGACAGGAAAUAAAAAGUGACAACUCUUUCUGAGGGAAUCAUAUAUCUCAUAUCCUUACUUUCACAGGACAGCAUGGCAGGCAGUCUUGCACUGCUUUUAUCAUGCAUCACAAGCUAUCAAUAAUUAUGAGCACUAAAACAUGAUGUCCUCCUGACCAUUCAUAAUGUUGUUAUAACGAAUUCUAUGCAUAAAUCAAGUGUUACAAAGAAGCUUGCGUGAAUACCGACACCACCGGUCGAAUGACCUCGAGAGGUUGGGCCAAUCAGAGUCGGAUGCAGAAAAGUCCUCAAGCCAGUUGCGGAGGAUGAUCUCCUGGUCGUCCCACGGCAGGCCGGCGAUGAGGUCUUCGAUCACCCUCUCCAUCUCCCACUUUUCCAUCCCCGAUAGCACCGGGCUUGUCACCCCGUGGCUAGCGUAGCAUAGCAGGGGUAGCCACAACGCCAGUAUCCCAAACGUCACCUCCCUCGCUGCCUCCCACUCCCCACGUGCCAGCUCUCGGAGUAACAAAACUGCAAUCAUGGACCCACCCAAUCUUGUGUAAGCAGCUCAAAAUUGGAGGGUUCUUGCAUUUUAUAACCCCCGUGUGAAACGUCAUUAUGGUACAAGAUAAUAUCUGAGACAAAUCUGAGCAUCAUCAAAGAUUAUAAUUAUGCCUUUGCCGUUCAAACAAUAGCAUGGAAUAAUAAUCUUUCUGGAUAAUUAUGUACAGUUACUCAAACAUUUUAUUAUUUUGUUGUUGAUUUCUACAUUCUUACACGUGAAAUCAAUCUAUCUACCCAACUUCUGCCAAAAGAUGCUAUCAAUAUAUCAAUGACACUUGCUUUUCCUCCUAUUUAUUCUCUAUUAGUGGAACCAAGCAAAUUUUAUUAUGGGGGAUUAGUGGAACAAUAUCACCCAAUGACUUUCUAAACACACACAAAAUAUUAGCAUGCAUCCUGUUUAAAGACAAAUUAAGGGGAAUAAUGAUCAUUUUUCAUCUUAAUAGAUGAUUUUUACUAAAAGAAAAAUUGACGUAGGCGAAUGAUUUUUGAACUUUUUAUUUCCAAAGGUUCAUGAUAUGUCUUGUUUGAUAAUCAUAGUCUGCUAUUUUAGAAGUGAAAAACUACUGGGUACUAUUGUUAAUCUUGAAAUCCAAGAAACAUAUAUCAACAGUGGAAACAAAUACAAAGACGCUUCCUAUAAUUCAUGUUUUUUUCUAAUGAGUUUUGUAUUAUGAAUUUAUUUAUUAAUAGAAAAGUCAGGACGUUAAGUUGAAUAUUCUUCAACUUCCAAGUAGGUUUUGUAGAUACACAAAUCAAACGGUCAGGAAAUGGUGGUGUUUUUGAUCAUCUCGUUCUCACCUGUGAUCUUGACGAUCGGACAGUGAACCCUGGGAUGAGCAGCGAGCGACAGCGAGGCCAGCCCGGAUGCGAACGCCCACCGCACGAUCGCCUCACCGAGGGCCGAGGACGUCCUCAGCUUGUUGGUGAUCCAAAGCAGCUCGUGCGCCAGCUUCUCCGCCUCCAGCCACUCGUCCGCAUUAGCCGUCACCUGCUGGUGGGACUUGUAGGGGCGGAGGGCGCCGGCGGCGGCGGCGGCGGGGGGGAGGAGGCCGCCGAGGCAGAGGCGGAGGCCGUCGUAGAAGGCGGCGAGGCGGGGGCCGAGGGGGAGGAGGCUGAGGACGCGAGACGGCCAGGUGGCGGUGAUGGAGGAGGAGCGCUGGAGGGCGCGGCAGAGGAGCUCGCUGGUGCGGGAAAAGCCGGAGGCGAGGACGGCCCGGUUGACCUCCAGCAGCUCCCCGUGCCCCAGCUGGACAUUCUCCGUCACUAUUCUGUCCGCCAUCGCCAGUACAAACUCGUACUUUGUCGACGUCGACGGGAGUUCGUUCAGGAUCACCAAGAUCUGCCAACAAAACCAGAGAAGGAUUUUUUUUUUUUAGUUAGUGGUAAAGAUAAUCUUGGUAAAAAGUUAUGGAGAGUUUCAUCGUAAGUUUGGAUAACAAAUAUUACUAUACAUACAUGGUUACAAGAAAGCAAACAUGGGAGCAGAAUCGAACAUUUUUUAGACCUGGAACUAAAUAAAAAAACAUCUUCUCUAUUAAAAAUUACUAUAUUUUAAAUAUUAAUUAUUAUUAAAAAUUAAUUUUUUAUAAAUAUAUUUGUUAAGCAACGUAUAAAACUCAUCAUUAAUUUAUUUAAUUAUUUUUUUUAUUAUAAUAAUGUAGAAAGUCAUCUUUGCAUCCUAUUGGAACAUCAAUAUAGAACCUGAGGCUUGGGAGGGUCACUCAAUUCGACCUGCCCCAGGGUCGGUCCUGCAUAGGAGAUGGAAGAACAAUGAUAUGGAGGAACUAUCAAGAAGAACAAAAGUUAUAACACCAACAACAAUAACAUGUUGUAUCACAGUUAUAACUUUCUUGAAUUAGUACUGAGUAAUUUGUGAGUAAAAAUUCAAGAUGAUUUGUAAAUAAUAGGAUAAUAAUUGCUUAAUUCUUGCAGCACAAAUUAUUUCAAAGAUUACUUGACAAUGUAAAAAAAUAAAUAAUAAUUUUAUAAUUUUUAAACAUUGAGAAUAAUGUUAGGAUGGUAGAAAUAGGUGUCAUAUGUAUUUACUAUCCAUACUCAUUCAUGAUAAAAUUCUAUUAGAUUGCAAUUUGUAUCUGUUCUCGUAUACAAUACAAAAAAAAGAAAGAAAGCACCAAAGAAGGCUACAUAGAAACAUAUCAAAUCUAAGAUGUUAUUAGUAAACUCUCUCUCCAUAGCCCAAGAACAAUUUCCUAAUGGUAAACUAUAAGUUUUUUGUCAGAAGUUUUCCAUAAAUUAUUAUUUAAUAAUUUGCAAACGGUCUAGACUUACAUGCGAGAGAGCUCUCCCUAUGGCUGUAGUGCAUGCGCGGAGCCCACCUCCACUUCCUCCAUGCAAAACAAUGGCCGUAGAGGAGGACUGCUGCUUCUUGUCAAUCAAUCCUUCAACACCAAAAUCUAGCAGGGAAAGAA